UUUUUUUUUUUGGGUUAUGUCUUAUAUAUGCAUGUAAAGAUAGAGGACGUAUAUAUGCCUACAAUUUUAUUUUCAGAAGAAAAAAUUGAAGACCGAUCGGGAGAGAUUCAAAAUAGAUGCUUGUUGUGCAUCUUUGAUUUUUGAUUCAACAUGUCUCUCCUUAAUUAAUCUAACUUAAUGGCAUGUUUACUAAUCUGUAAUGAAAUUGAGAGUGACGAAAUUGAUUCCGGAAUGAGUGAAUUUCGGCGAUUACUAACAUGUCAAGGUAUUAUAAUGGGUAUAGGUCUCACUUGCUUAUCAGGAAUCGAUUCCUUAUAAAUUUCUUAAUUUGAGAGAUGGGUAUAUCAGAAUAAGAUUAUGGAAUCAACUUUUUCUCCUUAAAAUAUCCUCACAUAAUUAUAAUAUUUUCAAAUUACCCAACCUUAAAAAAUUGCAAACAUUUUAGCUUCAUUUCUUGUAAGGUAUUUUAAUAAUCAAACUAGUUUUAAUUCUGAUUUCAUAUGGUAAGUAAACAACAUAAAUCGUAAUUAGUUUCAUUCCUGUUUUGAUUUCUAUGGUAAGUAAACAGUAUAAUGGAAUAAAAUAUUCUUAUAUUGAUUAUUGUUGAUACAUAUUCAUGAUAAUUUUCAUUCUAAGUUAGUAAACGUAACUUAAGUCUUGUUUGCCUUAAAUUUCUUACAGAGCAACAGGAAUUGGAAACAUGGAAUUGAAUGUACGGAUAGUUCAGAAAUACUAGCUAAUUCAUAAUCAAGCGCAACCAUGAUCGUUCACCUCCUCUUUGUCCUCUAUUAGCUUUAUUUCUUGAGGCAGGUGUUGAUCGAAUGAUAUUUUAUUUUUCUUCAAGAACUUGGUCGAUCAGCUUACCGAAACAUAAAUAGGUUUGUCAUCAACCCCUCGCUCAUGAUCACAUUUUGACAGUCUGCACUGAUAUCAUCACAUUGUUCCCAAGCCCAAGCAUCCGCUACAUCAAACCCUGUGUUGUUAUAAGUCUGCUGCAGCAGCGCGUCUAAUAUGUCACCGUAUUCUCUAACACCACUCUCCUCUGAAACAUCACUGAAAUCCGGAGCUGCUGACAUGGUCAACGGUGGAACAUCAAACAGUCUACCAUCAUUACCAGGUACCCCGUCAAAGUUAACGAAUGAACCAACAUCAGUGGCACGACCAACACCACCGGCUUCGCCGCCACCUCCAUAACCUGCCGUUAAUGACUUUGACAUCAUUAGGGUUUCCCAUGUUCUUAGAUUGAAGUCAAGGCACUGUGCUGGUGGCGGUGGUGGUGCAGGUUUGAGUAGUUUUGACUCUCUCACAAAUCUAGCUUCUGCUUGAAGCCUAGCACUUUCCCACUGAGCAAUGUGGCUGAGGUUUGAGAGGUUCUUCGGGUCGCCAUUAGCAAAGCCAAGGAUGGUGGUCUUGGGCUUGUGGGUUACUGGGUCAAACCCUAUCUUGUCUAAUCUCUUCUUCAAAUGUGUAUUCCAGUAGUUCUUGAUCUCAUUGUCUGUUCUCCUUGGUAGGUUUGCAGCUAUUGCUGACCACCUAAUACACAUUUACCGAACAACUAAUAAGCAUCACCAUGUUUGUAUAAUAUCGAAAAUAUUUGCACUGCUUAAAUAGUACUAUAAUUUUUUUCAGAGAUACUAUAGGUAAGAAACUAAGAACUACGAACACGUUCUAAAGAUGUCUAAUCAAGAACAUGUGGUGCUGCAACUAUAGCGAACGUAUGGUGCUGCAACUAUAGCCAACAUCGAUCUCAGUUCCUACGUAUAUACUAUUCAAAAUCACCUUCUCAAUCUCUAAAUUUAAUGUUCAAGUUUAGUUGAACAGAUUAAAUAGUGAUGGGUAACAAUAAGUCAAACUAGGGCAUCCUCACAUAUAAGUUAAAAUUAAUUAUAUCGAUAUCUUUCAUUUAUUUAUUUUUUUUCGAUCGAAAAAAUUACAUCUUUCUGUGUAAGUUGUCCAUAUGUGUUUACGGUUGUCUAAUUCGAUUAUCAUGAUCAUCUCCGAUUUUCAAACUCUAGCUAAUUCUGCACAUUAUAUAAAUAAAGUAAUCAGAUGGAUAUGUGGACAACAUUCAAGUUAUCAAAACCCACAAUAUAAUGAAUUAAACCAUAAAGUUAGUAUAACCUAUUUAUGAAGUAAAAAUGAUGCAGAGCAUAUAAGGUAAUAUUUAAUUAUAGAUUCGUAAUUUUUGAUAUUUUAUUAUUGAUAUAGUUUUAGAGACUUAUUUUAUAAUUAUUAGGAUUUACGUUUAAUUAGCUUUUCUUUUAGCUUUAAAAAAAUUAGUAACCGGCCUGUUGCCUAGAAGUAAAAAAAAUUAGUUACCUGUUGCCUAGAAGUGCAUGAAGCUGAAUGAUAGUCUGGUCUUCCUGCAAACUGAAAUUUCCUCUCUUAAUAUCAGGUCUUAGGUAGUUUUUCCAUCUUAACCUGCAGCUCUUCCCACAUCUUUGUAAACCUAUCAUACGCACAUCCCAAAACAACAGAUGUUAAUUAGAGAAACUAUUCACAGUUGAAAUGUGUGUGUGAGAGAGAGAGAGAGAGAGAGAGAGAGAGAGAGAGAGGGUACCAGCUUUCUCGGGCAAGGAACGCCAGCUUCCAUGGCCAUGUUGUUGAAUGAAGGCAAAGAGCUUCUUGUCCUCUUGAGGAGUCCAUGGCCCUCUUUUUAUGUUCGAAGUUGCAGCACUGCUGCUGUUAGUUGAAGUUCUGGAUUUCUCCAUGAUGAGAAUGAGUGUGGUUGAGAAGGACUGGCUAUGUAGCUGCCGCUGCUACUCUUGAUUUCCUUUCCUUUUUCGGUUGAGUAUUCCAGAUUUAACGUAUGACGGGAAUGGCCGCUUUACAAAUUUAUAUUGGUUGAAGCAACUGUUGGAAUUUCUUUAUGACCAUAUUACCCUUUCUUUGUCAGAACUCAGGACUACUGUUAGCAAUUUGGGCUGCAUUGUUAGUACAAUAUCAUUGUCCCACGCGCAGCUUGAUAUUAAUUUGACACACCAGACACCCAUUCUGUGAAUUUAAACUCAUUCGAAGAUCUUCACAGACUCGGUUAAAUAUACAUUGAUGGGAUUUUUUUUUUUUGGCUAUUUUGCAAGCUAGAUGAGUAUUUCAAAUAGGCAAAUCCGGAUACUCAGAUGAACUGUUUUUCGGAGCGGUUUUGAUGCGGUUUCGGUUAGAACUCUAAUACUAGUAAAUCCAGAAGAUCAUACCCAAAAGAAUAUGCCCAAUUUAAUUGAACUAACCUAAGUCUACACAUAACAAUAGCUCAAUAUGAAUACAUUUGUUCUGUUAGCUCCGUGACGGACGCUAUCAGCUAACACAUUUUGGUCAUAACAUGUCAUUUCUUCUUCUUCGCUGAACAUGCAAGUUUCUGUUAAUCUAUACACUGUUUUAAUUAAUUUCCAGUUCAAUAGCUCGGAGCUUGGGAUUUGAAAGUUGGUGGAGGAGAUAGAUCUCAUCUGGUGCCUUGUCACGACACGAAUGUCCUCUGUUUAUUAUGAUCCAUCACUUAAAUUGCUCGGUAAAAAGAGAUAGACGUACAUGAUCGAUUUGUUUUGGAUUGAAUGACAUUAGGUUUGCAAAUGAUGACAAAGUGGGGAAUUUAGUACUGGUAAUUUUGACUUAAAGCUCCAUAUAUGUAAGAGUUCUCAUGAACAUCCAUGUUUUCAGUGUAAAAUGGAAUGAUGAUUCUAUGGCAUAGUGAGUACGUAAGAUCUCCCAGCAGGGCGCGCAGAGAGUUUCAAACAGUUUCAUGGAAGCCAAGUAUGAAGUAUCAGAUCUCACUUCAGAGCAGAGUAUUCUGAUAUCACAUCAGUGUUAUACAAGGAAGGACGGACACAUUGUACUACGUACUACUUUUGUCAAAGUUGACGAUGAUGAUCAAAUCUUUCUGGAAAUAUAUACCAGGCAUGCAUGCAUGCAGCAUGAAGCUAGAGCAGUCUAUCUUAAAUUUAGGAUCAAUAUACAACCAAGAACGCUUGUUGCAAAGUUCGAGUGGAAUGAUUGCAUUCUCAAAUUGAGUAAAUGGUGAUGAUGAUCAUCGGGAACGGUAAGAUCGUCAGUAUGUGAAUUGUCCAAAUCUUACAUUAAUUAUUUACCUAGCUCUACUAGGGCACUGUAAACCACAAUAACAGUCAGUGACUAACUGACCGGCAAUCAAAAAAAAAAAAAAACUGGCCGGCAAUCAUAACAUCUAGGUUUGUCCAUCAGUCCAUGCCAUUCCAUUCCCAUCCAUAACCCUGCAGGUUUGCCGAAAACUUUAAUAAAAUGUAAAUAUUUACUACGUACCCAGAAAUGAAAGCCAACUAUUCGGGUUCUGCUUAUAGUUAUUGAGCAUAUCAGAUAUUUAGAUUUGAUAUAUAAUGAAUUUACUGUAAGUACUCUGCAGGUAGCUGAAGGCCACAAAGCUCUAAUUUAUUUCUCUAUUGUCUAUACAGUCUCUCGGGCUCUCAGCUGUAGAUAUGUACCCAGUGAGCUCAGUUAAGACGUUCGAAACAAAAAAGGGGUGUCUGUUCAUACAACUACAAGCUAGGUCGUCGCAGGCAUUCAUCACUCUCUGAAAAACCAGGCUUGAGAUAAAUACAUGCAGAAACGUCUUUCACUUCAUAUAUUGAUGAAAAUUAAUCCCCAUAUAUAUAUAUAUGGUAAAUAUUACGCAAAUGUAUAAUAGCUUUAUAUCUGUAUACUUUAUUGCUCUGAAUUGCUGUUCAACUUGUUGUAGCUAUCUAAUUCAAUCUGGUGCUGCAUGCAUGAUUAUUGUAGCUACCUUUAGAACGUCAAUUGAAGACACUGAGAUACUUUUUUUGACAGCUCGAUCUGGAACUACCUAGAACUGUACAUGCUAGUGAUGGAGAAGAAAGGAGAGGGUUGGGAUUAAUUGGACCUAUUGUUGUUAUGCAAGCUAGCAACACCAUCUUGAUUAAUUGUACACGUGUUAAAGGUACGUUGUUGCUUCAAAUUCAUAGAUACUGAAUCUUGCAUAUAUACCGACCAAUAUUAAGGCUCAUGUUUACACUGUCGUCGUACAGAUUUGUAUGCAAGAUUCAGUGUAUGUAUGAAUUUUGAUUAGUGUGUGUAUAUAUAUAUAUUUAUAUCAGUACGUGAUGAACGAAUUUGAAAUGAUUAAUUCUACACGCAAAGUAUGUGUUUUAUAUUAAGGAGGAGUGUGAAUCAAGUGUACUUAGAGGAGAGCAUAGUAUGAUGGUGAACCAUGACUUGUUGAUUAACUAACUUAAUUGACAUUGUAGAUACCAUAGGUCCAAAUCUCAUUGAUAUUGUAAUUAAGGGUAGGGUAUUGCGUUUUCAGCUUAAUCCUUCAAGGAAAUCAAGAUGAGGAAUUAGGUUUUCAGCUUAAACAACAUAUGAGAAAUUGCUUGUGUGACUUGUUUCUCUAAGAAUAUUGCUAAUGUCUGUACACAAAUAUACAUGACUUAUUGCUUAUGUUUAUGUAAACGAAACUAUUAUAGUUAUCGUUGUAUUAAUGAAGAGGGAGUACAAGGACCUCUUAACAGGUACUCUUUUUUAUUUUAUCCCUAACAUCAGGAUGAUAAUAUGAAAUUUUCGUUCAUAAUCCAGAAGGAAGCUCACCCUAAUUAAUCUCUACACAGCUCUAUUUUAUCUUUCACUCUGUCGAAGGGAUGAAGAUAACCCAUCUGAUAUUUGUUUAAAAUAUCUCUACAUCUCUCACAGACCUGCAAUUGUAAUAAAGAAAGUAAAUUUGUUUAAUCAGCAAGUCAUCAGUUCAAAAAAUAAAGCAGUAAAUUGAGAAGAAAAGGAAAAAGAAGAACAAACCUGCAAGAGUAGAAGUGGGACGACGACCGUCAACCAAUGUUGUGGGAUUUUGAGGGUUUUGGACGAGAAACGAAUAGAAAUAUAAAGGGUUUUGGAGUUUUGGGUGUGAUCCAAUCAGUCCAAUCCCACAAUUAUAUCAACUAUACUAUUAUAUAUGUAAUAUUAAAAUAUGAUAUAUAGAUGUGUAUCAAAGUAAAAAGUUGGAUACGGAGAUUAAGGGGGAAAUAAAAUAUAUGCUCAGGCGUCACUUGUCAAAAUAUGAGUGGCAGCAGUGGCCCUCACCGGACCCCUACUGCGUCCGCCAUUGGGGAGUAAGAACAUACAUACGAGUUCAUAAUUCAUAUUGUUGAGUAUAUAGGAAACCUUGACAUUAUUGAGGCGUUUACAAUUCGUGGGGGAUAGAUAAUUAAGUAUACUACUCCCUUAUGAUUAAAUAUAACAACAUUUGAUGAAACUGAAACUGUAUGUGUGAGACAAAACGGGAAGCUCCAUUUUUCAAACAAUAUCAUUAGUACGUGUUGAGGAUCUUGUCGUGCAGGACUCAAAUUCUCUCGUGGUUGGAGAUUUGAUCGACCACAUAUGUCAUAAACUAAUUAAAUCCCACAUGUUUAAUAAAAUGAAAUGAUAUCCAUAGAUGGUGUUUUACAGCUCGAUAUAACUGAAUGCAUCGUCAACUCAUCAUCUCAAACGAGCUAGCUAGCUAGAGGAAAGAAACAGUAGAACUAAAUCCCAUGGGAUUGAACGUAUGAAUGAGUCUGCAUGUCGAUAGAUAAAAUAAAAAUUACACAUAAAUCCAGCUUGUGUUCCUUCUUAUAUAUACAAUACGAUCAAUUUAGGUUUUGCUCGUUUAAAGAAGCCAGAUCUUUGUUUUAGUAAACAUGUGGAAGUUUAUGUUAGAACAGUAUGUCAGGACAAUUGUUUUUCUUCCUGCAAUUUUUUUCCACCGGCCUUCCAUGAUUUUAGUAUAUGUCAACAACCUAAGAUUUCAUCUGUGUUGAAGAUUGAACUGAUAUUGACUUAAUUAAAAGCUAAAAUUUGAUUAGUCAAGUAGUUGUCAUGAAGUAUAGGCAAUGAGUCAUAACAUUACGCAAGAGCUAGCCAACAAUUUGUUGGUAGGGAUCAGCUUGUUUUUUUUUUUCUCUGGUCAAUAGGCUAACCGAUCAAAUCAUGAAAAUACCUGGCCGGAUGCAUAUUUCAUAUUUGUGUAUUCACAGGGAACACCAAAUCAAUCUUCAUGAUCUUACUCACACUAGUACAGAGACACCACUGUCUCAAAUACUACAUAAAGUCAAAGCAAGUUUUUCAAUAUCGGGUCGGGUUUUCAAUAGGUCUCCGAUGCUGUCAGAGGAAACUUGAGGAGAAAAUGAUGACACCAACGCGAUUUUCCGACGUCCUCAGGUGUCUGAUGUAGAGAUGGAACGGAGAUGAUGAUGUUGGGGAUUUCUGUCCACAGCGGAAAAAUUGAACACAAAUGUGCAUAUAUAUGAUACUGCUUGCGAGGGUUCUGCAGUUCUUCUCUAACAUAAUAGAAAUGGAUGUAUUGAUACAAAUUAGAUGAGAAGUAGCAGAAAUUUUGUUUGAGACUCGAAAAUCAUACUGUAGUCCCUGCUCUCGAUCUACUUCGUCGACUCGAAUGUUACAGUUUCUUCACUAGUUUGGGGAGCUCCAAGAGACUGAAAUCGCGAUCUAAUCUUACAUAACUCAUAUUCAUUUUCAUUCUCUUUCACCAUUUCCUACCUGUAUUUUUAUGUGUCCCAAGAGAGAAAGGAGACUAGGUCAACACUGGAAAGCACCCCUAAUUAGCUGAGUUCUCCUCCACAGCUAGAAUGAUCGAUAAUCCAAAAUAUUGUGAUAAAAAACAAUAAACACUGAAACUGAUCCACCAUACCCUGAUAAGUGAGGUCAUGGUUUGCAUUAUAAAUUUCCCAGAGGACUAAUGAGGUGCAAGAUUGAAGCAACUAAAAUAUACAAAAUAAGAUCAUUACCACCAACUGAAUCUCAUUCUCUUUGUCACCAAUAUUGUACAGCACCCUUCACAAGAAUGAUGCCAAUAUCCAACGAGAUUUAAAUACGCAAACAGUUUGAUACUAUCAAAUCAAAAUAAUUUCUCACAAUACUACAUAACAUAGGCUUCACUUUCAUCAAAUUCCCUUAAUAAUUCAGAGAAUUUCUAUUCACAGACCCACACCACAUCAAUCAACUCACAAAACGUUAACAAUAAUAGGCUAGUAGCUGAAGCUAGCUGUUCUUCUUUCUUUCACUACACAUAACAGAUUCACAUCCAAAAGCUAUCUUGAUCAUCAAAUGGCCUUCUACCUAUCUCAUGAUUCGCCAUGACAGAAGAGAUUUCAGGGUUCACAUCAGUAGUAAGACCUGUUUCUUGAGACACACUGAUCAUGUCCCUCUCUGUUUUGAAGUUCUGUCUCAUGAACGAGACAUUGUUCUCAAGCAAGGCCCUCAGAUGGUCUUGCAUUACAACCGAACUCGGAAACUGGAAAUUUGCCGAUGAAACUGGAGCAGAGUAUUGAUACGUGACUCGUGGGAAAGAGUUGUUGUUGUUGUUGUUGUUGUUUGAAGGAUUGGAUGAAACAGAGAAGAGAGGAUUGUUGUUGUUGAUAUAAUCAACAAUCCCUUGGUUUCUUUGAGAAUCAAUGGAUUCUUGGUUGGAGAAGCAGGGCACGUAAGUCGACUCUGAAGCAGGUCUGGUCUUGGCGCCAUUGUAAGGCGUCGAGUCCAGCAAAGGUGGCAAACCAGAAGAACCAGUUUCAGUUCCACGAGAACCCGAAUUCGGAAGUCCAGAGAUAUGGACUUUUUUACCACCGGCAGAUUUUUCAAAGACCCUACAAAUCACCCAUUCGUUCUGCAAAUUUGAGAUCAAAUUAGGGUCAGAAACAGAGACAAAACAGAGUAAAACAGAGCAAAUUAACAUAGUGAAACAUACAUACCUUUGCAGAUUUGGGGAGGUUGUGGACUGAGAAUUUACCCUCCAAUCUGUAUUCAUGCAUGACCCAGUUGCUCUUUUCACCUUUUGGGGCUCUGCCUCUGUAGAACACAAGGGUCUUCUUCAUGCCAACUAGGGAUUUCCCUUUGUAAAUCUCCUUGUCUUUCCCGGUAGCUUUCCAAUAUCCAGCCUCAGUUGCUCUGUUUGUCCUCAGACCAGUUGGAUACUUUCUGUCCCUCACACAGAAGAAGUACCAUUCCUUUUCUCCCAUUUUCGCUUUAUCUUCAUCAACAAACCAAAAAAACAAAAUAAAGCUAAAGAAUAACCAAAACUGCAACAUUAAAUCGAAUUGAAAAUCACAGACACUUAAAAUAAAGAUGGGAAGCAAUUUACUUUGGGGAAACUUACAUGGCAAAUCCCAAGGCUCGGACUUGUUCAAGUCCACAUCCCCAAUUGCUUUGCAUCCGAAGUUGGAAUCCAUAACCUUCUUGUGUAGGUAGUGAGAAAUAAGCUCUUCAUCGGUUGGGUGGAAUCGAAACCCGGGUGGUAGAUCAAUCUGAUUGUCUUCCUUGAAAUUUCCAGCUGGAAGAACAAACUUUUCCAUUUCCUGCAUCAUUGAUACCUGUAAAACCUCACUUCUAGCUUCCCUCUACAAAACCUCUGUUUCUUCACGGUCUUGGUUUUGAUCAACAGGGCAUGGUUUUCAAACUUAAACCUCAAUUUAUACAAAUAGACUCCUAUCUGGGUUUCUCAGACUGAAAUGAGUUGUGACCAACACAGCUUUCAGCUAGCUCACAGAUUUUUGAAAACAGGAAACAGAACCGAGUAAGACGAGAAGCAAAAAGUAUGUUGUCAAGGAGCAAAAGAAUAAAGCUGGAGGAAAAUAAGAGAAGCCAUGAAACAAGUUUGUGAGAGGGAUGAGAUUUUAAGAGAAAGAAAAGCACGAUGAGAAACAGAAGCCCCUAAAUACUGGUGCGUUUGGAGAGAAAGAAACGUGGUAUGGAAGGUAACUCUGGCUGGGUAGGUCCUUUUAGCUUUUUUAACAUUUUCUCGAGUAACCAAUUUUGCCCUCUUCGAAUUUGACCAAAGACAAAAUGAACCUAUCAAAUCCAAGUACUAUGCAUUUGAUUUUAAUUGAUUUUAUUACCGAUUUAAUAUGUUUCAGUUUUGUCAAUUCCUUGGCUAAUUUCAACUAAUUAGAUUUUCUAAAUUCAAGUAACUAUUUGUUCAUUUUAAUCAUGGUUUUAGGAUGUCGAUAUAUAUGAACUAUAUGUGUUUGUUUGUUACGGUGUCAUGAAUUGUUUAUGACAGUCUACAUGUUAUGAAUUUUGAAAUUCUCAUUAUUCACGUCUUUAACGACACCGUUAUCACACGUAACAUAUUAAAUACUAGAUAGACUCUGAAAUUAACAGAAAUAAAUAGAGCAUUAAUCAACGAGAACUACAAUCAUGAUGUAACCCUUAAUAAUAUAUCAACAUGGAUACAUACAUUAGAUUCACAUGCAUUACAUAUUAACAUAAUACAGUUACACUGUGUAACUAAGACAAUCGGAUCAUAGACGCAGUUGUCCAUACGUGAAUUGAUUCAUUUCAUUUGAUAGGACUUCAAUGUUACUGAAUUGAUGUUGCUUGUUCCAACGAAUACAAGAAUCAUAGGCAUACAUCAUAAUGUAGUCUCUGUUUUGUAGCAGUGAUGAACAUUAUGUUAGCUCAUUAGCGAUAACAGCUGUAUGAGUGUGAAGGCGUAGAAUUAGUCAGGUCGUGCAAAUUAGUUAACAAAACACACUUUAAUCAUGUGUAAAAGACCAUUCUAACCCUCUUCUUUUCAUAAGAAAAAUCACAAAUAUGUGAAAUGGCGAUUAGCCGACAGGGUACUGCACAGACUUUUUAUGUGAUUGUUACUAAAAAAUGACAUCAAAUUAGGUCGGAAAUAACUUCAAUUAAAAAGCAGACAAAUAAUUUCAAGAAGAUCUUCAGCAAAGACAGCCAAAUUAAUACGAUCUUUGAUAUGACUCUCAUCGUUGUAUCAAAACUAAUGUCAACUUCUAUAAUUUUCGAUCUUUUCUAAUUAUCUUUUAGUGGCGGAUUAAGUACUAAUUAAUAUGAUCAUAACAGAUAAUUUGGUAUGAUAUAAUCCGUGACAACACCAAUUAAUCAAAGCUCUCAACUCUCUUUCAAAGGGUGAUGUAAAAGGUGCUCGGAGAUUAAAGCCAUUUAGUGGUUAAUGGUUAGGUGAAAGAAAGUUUGUUAAUGCAUCUAAGCUAAUUUGUCCAAUAUGAUUAGAAGAUUAGUGCCAGUUUUCAACAAUUUGAACCUGCAACGUUUGUUGUUUUUCAUUUAUGGUUAAAUGUAGGUUCUCUAAUAUUGCUUUAAGGAAAUUCCAAUUUGACUUGAAUUCUUCAUAAAAAUCUUCAUAGGGCCUCUUUAUUUAUAAAACUUUUACACGUGAAGGAUGCAUAUUAUAUUGGGCGAUGAUCAGAAAUUAGUAUGAUAUAUACAUAGUGAUCGAGCUGAUGAUCCCUACUUGACAAACUCAAACAAUAUAAUAAUAGAAAUUCUGAAUUUCCCACUACAUUUAUAAAACAAUUUUACCAUUCUAUUUGUCAACCAUAUCUCAUGUAAGUACGAUUACUGCUUAUGAUCAUUUCAACAAACUUGACUAAACGACAAAGUUCUAUAAACAAGAAUAAAUUGUAACGGUGAUAUAUUGAUUUUUAUAUUAAUUUAUCAAGUUUUUAUCUGGAAAUUGUUGUAUACGGCGUGCAAGUACACGGUGCAGACCACUAUAUAUUCAUAUUUAAGUUAAAGAUCUUAACUAUUCACACGGUAUUUUGUAUUUACACGUUGUGUACUGAAGAAUGUUUUCUGACUUUCUACCAUCUAUAAAGUAAAACGUAGCUAGGUCAACAAAUUUUGGUCACCAUGAGAUCAAAUCAAACCAGCUAAAUUCUAUGUUUUUUUUUCUCCAAAUUGUUUUAAUCUAAAAAUCUAAAACCAAACUUGGUCAAUUAAAAACCUGGCUCGAAAGCGGCCUAAAUAUCUCCUUAGUGUGGGCUAAAAGGGGUCCUAAAAACGAAGUUCGCAAUUGACCACCAAAGUUGCAUUCAGAAUUGAUUCCUAAAGUGAAAGAAAAUACUCGAAUGCAGGUCAUUUUCUGAGUGUAAUUUGUGAUUGUAAUUUGACCCUGUAGUGAUUCUGAUUGCGUUGUACAUGAAACUAGCACGGCCACUUUCGCCACUCCAUGGCUUUCUUCCAAAACCGGACUUUCCUUUUCAGGAAACAUUUCUAAUCACCCCUCGACGCGUGUGCUAGGGCUUUGGCUUUGUCCCAAGAAUUCCAAUCCGGUCAGUAAUCUCGAAAAGAUGGACUAAUCGGCGACGUCCUUAUCAAGGGUAUCACGAUAGCCAGGAUUGGACAGUACCGCCACACCUGAUCAUAGUCAGCUACUCGCCACCGGCCUCUUCGAUCUGGUUCGUCAAGUUCUUGAUAUUUUAUUAGUCAGACUUAACUAAGCCAGGACUAAACUAAACCCUAGGGCUGACUGUACGUGAAGUAUAACCCUUGCGAUUGGGUCGAGAGCGGCAGCUGGCUUCUGUUUCCUUGGCUCCAACAAAGGAGCAGCUAGAGACGUGGCAAGUCUGGUUUGGUAGAGAAGCCUAGACUGGGAAUAUUAUUGGGGAAUUUGAUCGAGUUCGGCAGAGAGGUCAUUCUUUGAAUAUUGAAAAACCAAAUACCGUAUUCUAAACUUGAUAGGGAUUAUGAAGAAGACGAAGAUCUUGAUCACCCUUAAUGUUAUUCAACGUCUACUUUUUUUGUUGUUGGAGAUAUUGAUGAAUGAAAAUGAUCGACUCAUUUUGAUGUGCUGCCUAACUCUGGAUCACUGGAUGUGAUUGGAGUGAUGGAAAAUAUUUAUAUGUACUGGAUUCUGUUGUAUUUGUACGUGGCUUCUUCACAAUCACAUUAGUAUAGUCUAAAUAACUUGGCCCUAUUUUCUUCGAAUAUAGUACGUACUCUGUUUUGUUUUUCUGGACUACUCGAUCAGGAUAUUUAAGCACCCAGUUGUGGCAACUAAUACAAGUUACGAACUCACAAACGUGUUUAACAUUUUCGGGGUGAUGACUCACUAAUCACUAUUGUCAUGUUUUCUAUAUAUGUUUUGGUGAGAGCUAAAAUUGGGGGAUUAGAUUAGGCCAGCAGGGUCUUCCUCAGAAUUCCUCUACGGGGGAUAUGAUUAUAUGAUAUAAUUUGAUGUUGAUCGUUGACAAUUUCCGAGAUAUGUACUAGUCGGAGAAGUUUUGAUUAAUCUUAUUAGUAAUUGGCCAUACUUAUUUAUAGUCAAAUAGAAGCAAGCUAGCUAAUUAAAAAGGGAAUCAAGAUAAGUUAAUUAUCCUUGGGUGUAAAAUAUGUGUAAUUCGUUCAUAUUCAACAAAAGCAGACUCAGAAGAAUCUGGGGAGCAUAAAUAAAAAGAAUUGAAGAAGAUAAACUGUGGCUGGAUGUGUUUGUAGGGAAAAUGUGAAGCAAGGGAAGUAGAAGAAGAAGAAGAAGAAGAAGAAGAAGAAGAAAGAUGCACGUACAUGCCACGAAAAUACUAUAAUAUCAUCUUGUUCUACACUUCUACUAUAGUAAAGGAUGUUUGUUUAUGUCAAAUUAAGGGGCUGGGAAAGGGUUGGGAAUAGGAGGGAAAGAGACGUAUAUAUAAGAAAGUUGUGUGUGAAUUUUCAUGACAAAAAUAAAAUAGAGAGAGUUUUGUGUUGCUCAUUUCCAAGUUCAGACUCUAUCGCAUAUUUAGAAGUACAGCAGCUCCCUGAUCGAUUGAGUCUUAAUGGUUUAGGAAGCUUUUAUAACUACGAGCGAUUAACUCUGUUAGUCUCAAACUACUUAUUCUCAUUCUAAAAAGGAAAAACUGAUAUGUCAAUAAAUCCAACGUCGAACUAGGUAACCAGUUGAGUUAACUUAGCAAGUCACAUUAAUAAUGUAGUUUCGAUCCUGAAAUCUGUUAUGUCAAUAACAUCAAAUCAUCUCAAAGACACACAAAGUUCAGGAAGUCAAAAAUCUGACCUUGAGUUUGGUACAACUAAUGAGCAACAUGAUCGAUGAUGUCGAAAGGAUUUUUGUUUCUAUGUUUUAAUCAUAUAUUAAGAAUGUAGCAAGGGCCUCCUCACAGCUAGUAGUUUUGUACUUUUUGUUUAAUCCAGAUCUAGAAUUAGGAAGUACAAAAAUAUGGUGAUUUGUGGCCUUAUAUUCAAAGGAUUGACAACAACAAUUCCCUAAUAAUUGAACUGUGUGGGACAAAGUAACCAAAAGAAAAGAGACCGGCCUGAUCGACAAACUAAACUAAGGCAGGUGAACUCAAGCUUGUCCUACAGGGCUUACUUUGUCCUCCAAGAUAUUGGAUAAUGUCCAGCCUAACCUAAAUUGAAGUAAAUUAAAGCUCUAGCUAUUCUUCCCUAAUAGUGAUUGAUGAAGACAGAAGGUGAUCAAUAAUACACAAGGCAGGUGAUCAUUAUACAGCUGCUUGAUGAACAAGAUAGCUAGAUCGAUGCAGUUGUGUCUCUUUUUGCAGAGAUUUCCACAACAAGUCUCCCAUUAUGGCAUCCAAGAAACUACAAUUGGUUUAUUACAACUAUAAAGCUGCAGCGUAAAAAUGCAAAUGCAUUUUGCUUCUUCUACUACUUAGGCUAGCGAAACUUGAAAGCCAAAGCAGAAAAGGCCAUUUGAGACUUUCGAUUGAGUGGUUUGUCAAGUGUUUAUCUGAGUUGUUAUUACGAAGGGUGAUCAGACAUGGCAUAUCUGCAGCGCAGACCAACUUUGGUUGGAAGCUUGCCCUAAAAUAGAAACUGUCAAUUUGUUAUUUACCAUCGGAGUCUCAGCACACCAUGACUGCACCAGGAUAUGCACGAAACCAAACCCACUCAAUGCUUCUGAAAGCAAUUCCAAUUUCCAACCAUAGAACAAACCGGGUUGAUUUUGCAGAGAUGCAUAAACUAUCUUUAGAGACCAAUCCAAAAGUAUGCAUUCCAAACAAGGAAAAAGUAAAUCAAAAGUAACCGCCCAUUGCUCGAAAGGGAAUCAAAAGAUAGAAUCCACAUUAGCAUCAUGUUCUAAGGUGCGAAUCAAUAAUUCUAAUUUCAUUGAAAUGGAUCCAAGUCUUAGCCAUAAAUAUUUCAUCUGGUAAUUCAAACUGACUAUAGUACUAUACGGUCAUUUCACAUAUUACAGUAAUCUAGGGUGCGUGUGUUUGGUUGAUGAAGGAACGUACAAGACAUUCCGAAAUUAUGAGCAAAGACUAUCAGAUUCAACCAACAGUGAUUCAGUGAAGCACUACGGAUGUAUGGUUGGUAUGUUGGGGCGAGCUGAGUCUGUGGAGGAGGCUUACAGAGUUACAGGUUGAUAAGGAGCAUGCCGGUGAAAUGUAAUGCCGUUGUAUGGAGGACAUUGUUGUCGGCAUGUCUGUGGAGGACAUGGUUGAUAUGUGGUUGAGCUUGGAGAGAAGGUCAGGAGUCAUCUUUUGGAGUUGGAUUCAGAUCAUAGCAGUGAUUACUGAUUACGUGCUUCUGGCUAACAUGUAUGCAAGUGUAGGCGAGUGGAACGAAGCUAUGAGAGCAAGAAGAUCAAUGCAGGACAGGGGAGUUGAGAAACCAGAGCCUGGUAAUAGCAUGAUUUUUUUUCGAUUACCUGGUAAUAGCAUGAUUGGCGCAGAUCUCCAUAUGAGGUUGAAAGGGGACACAACUAAAGCCUAUUCUGGACAUAUAAAUGCAUCAGUUCACUAGUUCAUCAGCAUACUUUGUAAUUAUUUUCUUUGGUAGAAUAGAAUAUGACAUUUAUUUUAUAGGGUUUGGAACUCAACGAAGGCUCAGCCCUAGUCCCAGUUCCAGUUGUUUUAUUGAAAAAAAAAAGAAACAAAAGAGUACAUGAAGGGAGAGGGGGCAUAGACAAAAACCCCUCCCAGAAAAAGAAGAACAACAUUAAAACCUGAGAUCUACUUUGUAAUUAUUUUCUUUGGUAGAACAGAAUAUGACAUUAUAUUCAAGGACAAAGUAGUCUUGGAGCAAUGUAUUAUACAACUACAUUUAAAGUUCUUGUUUUGUUUUUCCCCAUUUCGGGUGAAAACUACUUGGCAAAUGCAGAUACAGACCCAUGUAUUAUACAACUACAUGUGAAGUUCUUGUUUUCUUCUUCCCCAUGUCGGGUGAAAACUACUUGGCAAAUGCAGAUGCAUACCAAAAUAUUCAUCUCAGAACUGUUCUCUGGAUGUGAGCCAUCUAAGCUUAAGUUUGUUUCUUUUGUUUCUCUUCCUGCCACUCUUUGAUAUUGGCCUCUAUCUUUUGUUUCACGCUUGAGUGAAACCCUGGAUAAGGUUCGUAACCAAAGGCCGUUUGAAGGACCUGCAUGAUGUAAUAAUAGCAUAUUUAAGUCAUCAUUUAAAUAUAGAAUCAUCCCGAAUUCAGAUACGAUUUAGGAAUUACCUCAAGCAACACAAAGAAAGGAGCCAUCAGAAAUGCUUGGACGAGGUUAUCCAGAAGAGCCGGUGCUCGUUUCUGAAAACAAUCAUUAUGGUUAGACGCAUUAUUUAUCCUCAUUUCAAGUAAAGAAAGCAUUAUAUGUGUGAUGCGACUAUGUUCAGACUCAGGAAUACAGAAACAACAAUAGUGGAAAAUCACUAAUUGUCACCUCAAACACCCCGUGGCCUAUGAACUGUCCAGCCCAACAGAACAACUGAGCUGCCAAAACAACCUGAAAAGCAAGUCAUCAAACAUUUAGGAGUUUGAUUUUCAAUAUAAAACUCUUAGCCAGAAAGAGCAAUGCAGCUCCUAUCUUUAGCUAAGAAAGGAAUUUGUAGUUUAUAAGAUCUCCAUGUAGUGAUUAACAACUUCCCCCGCACCAGCAAGCAAUGUAGAAAAUUAAACCUGUUGGUAUUAUAUUUCCAAAGACCAUAUGAUCAAAGUUCUACAUUAUCCAGAAAUAUUUUAAAGUCCCAAUCUCUGAAUGAUAAAGUUUGUUCUAUAUGUCUUGCAGGGCAGAGUUCACUCAGUUCAGCAAGUUUCCCAGCGGUUUUCCUCUUCAAUGAAUUAAACCCUUUUCCCAAACCUUUCCUCACUAUAACAUCUAGUAUUGAAAUCCUGUUGCAAACUAAAGGCCAAGAAUCACCAACUGUACAUAUGUACCACAAUUGUGUACAAGAAACAAAUCAGACUACUGAGAUGGACCUCAUAAUUGAACUGAGCAUACUAACUAAUCUCCAAUGCCACAACUAGAACUUGGGCCUGCACGUAGAUUCAAGUUGAUUUAGAGAAUUUCAGACAGAAAUGUAAUUUCUCCAUUGAGACACCUCCACUCUUCCACAAAAGACAUAAUCAAGAGUCAAGACUUAGCACUGUAUGAUCGAAGAUACAAUGACUACCCUAAUGUUCCCAUCCUAAAUUGUUCUGUAAAUGCAUGUGCCUUUCAUCUACCGGAAUCUACUAGAAUAGCACAGUGAUCAACAAUGUUUCUGGAUAGGACCAUAUCUUUGAAUUGCAAAACCAUACAAAGUCAAGAACUUCCCAAGUCAAAUUGAUCAAAACCACAUCUUUUAUACCCAGCUUCAAAAAAAAAGAGAGCGAAAAUUUUAUAAAGAAAAAAAAAAAACCCAUGUGAGAUCAAAAUAGUUAUAACAUAACCAAACAACUGAAACAAGCUGGAAAAAGAAAGCACAUACCUUCCACGCCAAUGAAAACCCAAAUCGAUUAGCAAGAACACUGGCUCCAACCCAGCAGAGAACACAGAGCAAAGCAGCCAAGGACCCAGCUUUUUUAUCCAAUCCAACAUAAUACAAAGCAUAGAUCACAGUGAACACGAACCCGAAAUUGAGAUAAAACCCAGCUGGGAAACUGAACAGGGAAGGUGUGAAGUAGAGAAGAACAAGAGAGGUGAAGAGAAUAGGCCACACAAACAGAGUGUGGAUCAAAAUGUUAACAGGGUUGCUGUGAUAUGCGCCAUAGAAGGCAAAGUGGUUUUCAAGAUCAAACAAUCCACUCCUCCCCAUUGAAAUUGUUUCUGGUUGGAACUGAAAUGACAAAGUGGGUAUGAAAAGGACGAAGAAAUAGAUAGACGACCGAACACGGAGACUAGUAGGCUAGUAGCACCUUGGAAUUGCCAAAAUUGCCUUCCUGCAACUUGAACUCUGUUUGGAAUCCUCUGUUUGACUAAACAAGAUCAAAUUGCAAAAAAGAAAAAAAAAUUAAUUGGCCCAUGCAGGUCUCGAACCUGCGACCUUCGCGUUAUUAGCACGACGCUCUAACCAGCUGAGCUAAUAGGCCAGUUGAUGAAUUUUGACAAAUUGACAUAUACAAAAUAAUAUGGUUAAAAAUGUGUAAAAUAAGGGUGGAUGCAAAUGGUUCUCUUAUCCACUCUCCCCUCUGAUCAACAAAACACAAACCUAGCUUCAAAUUUGUACUACUUCAUCUUCUCAACUAAUAAUUCAAGACUAAAUGGCAGAAGCUAUCAUGGGCUUCACCAUUACUAGUCCACAUAUUCACAGCUCUUCACUCCAAACAACAAAAGUGGAUAUCACCCACAUGACCUCAUCUACAAGAUUGGUAACACUUCCAACCUACAAGAGCUUAUGCUUUAGACUUUACAUGGUGGAACUGCAUUUACUAAUGUGAAUAGUACCCUUCUUUUGCAGCUUAGGCAGUGUUCAAGUUCUGAGCUUUUCGGUGGGUGCAAGCAGGUACUUAUAAGCAGUUCUUAUAUUUCCUAGCCCAAAAAAGAAAGGGAAUUUGAGCACAUCAAAUCAUGUAGUGCAAUAAUUUGGUAAUGUAGGAUUGGUUGUUAGGUAACUAUAAUGUGUUGAAUUUGUUUGCAUAGCUUGAAGUUGGGAAGAAGAGCAAAAGAUCCCCUCUGAGCAGAACCAAUGCUUUCCCAGAUUGGCCUCUAAUGGCAGUUCUAGUGGAGCAUAUUGAAGGCCAAAGAGACUUUAUAACCCACAAAUCCAUUGUGCAUCUCAGUGAUGACUCCAUAAAAAGUGUUUGUAAGUAUUAGUUCUUUAUCAUUUCAUCAGUUCUAUUUCUUAGUUUCUCAUUUAAUUUUGCCACUUCCAUUGUCUAUUUGUAGAUACUGCUUACAUCAUGUUCACUGUUUGGGGGUGUUUGUUCUUUGGUUCCAUGAAGGUGAAGCACUUAAUAAACAUUAUAGUUACAAUUUCAUUGAUUUUGGAGAUAAUUAAUCCAAUAGUUCAGACAUUCUUGUUUUAGGAUCCAUAUUAUGAUUCAGAAGUGUACAGAGAAGAUGGAGGAGAUGGUACUGGACAUUGGAUAUAUGAGAAGGUAAACUUACUUAUCACUACUGUUUCAUAAGUUUUUCCGUGCACUACUUGGUCAAGUUUCAAUCUUGAGCUAGAACAUAAAUCAAGUAAAGCUCAAUUGCUUCUUGGUAAAGUAUGGUUGAUAUUUGAGUAUUUGACCAACCAUGUUGACUGUUGUGGCCAGCCUUCUAAUUUGGAUUUCUAGCAGAUGACAAAACUUGAAGCAAGCUUGAGUAUCUUCAAGCUUUAACUUUUAACACAUUGGUCACUGACCUAUCUUGUGAAGUGGUUUUUGGCUUGUUUUUGAUUCAAUGGUACUUGUUUUGGCAACUCCAUGUAUAACAAAUGUAACUGAUGUAGAAUGACUUAAUAGUGAUAUGUAAAUAUGCAGCAAGAAGACAUUGAAGAAUCUGCAAGAUCAGAGUUGUGGAGGGAAGAACUGAUUGAGGAGAUAGAGCAGAAAGUUGGAGGGCUGAGAGAGUUGGAAGAGGCUGCUAAGAAGGAGGAGCAGCUUGUGAAGUAGCUUAGUCAUUGGUUUCUUAUGAAUUUGCUGAUGAAUACUUCUUCAGUGUUUCACUCUUAUAAAUAUCCAGAUGUUGUAUAUACUAAUACCAUAUUGAAGGUUCGAUCUCAUUGAUGAGUUGGAAAAACAAACGUAACUACUACUCUGCUAGUGUAUGUGUCUCUGGAAAGAGGAUAUGCUUAAAGCAAAUAUAACACAAAAAUCUGAUCUGAUGUUCAGUUGAGAUAUAUCUGCUAGCAUUUGGUGCAUAUAUAUGAAGAAAGUGCAACGGUUUCAAAGUUAUGAAUUCAGUACAUGAACCAUGAGUGCUUUGACCACCCAAAAAAAUGCAUCAUCUUGCUUAAAAAGCCUUUCAUAGAUGACUAGUGCAAAACCUAGUAGUUGGAUUAUAUAUAACUCAAUCCUGCUGCAUUAAUAUUUAUCAAUAAAAUCUUGAUUUGUGGAAUAUGAGAAAUUCAUAUAACUUUAGCUGCUCACAUCUUCUGCAUCAAAUAUGUUUGCAAUAGGCUUCAUUUCCUAUCUAUCUGUCAUUUGUUUGAUUAAUUGAAAUUCAACUGGACUCUUUCAGGGCUUUAAAGGUCAGCUACUGAUCAGUUGUGGAGCGAAAAUCCAAGAAAAGAAAAAGAAAGAAAAAAUAAAGGGUAUCCACUUGGUGAUAUGGUGAAUUGAAGUAUGAGAGAACAUUGUCAAUGUUUGGUUCUUCUUUCCCAGAAUCAUGGAUUUGUUCUGGGAAAUACCUUGGCCAUGGCCCUUGGUUUUGGAAAACCCGUAAUGUUCCAAAUCCAAACAAUGGGCCAAUUUUCUAUAACAAAAGAAAACAAUUCCAUAACCUGUGGGUAGCUAGCUAGUAUGAUCAGUUCUAUCCCCCAAUGAAAUCACAAACCCUAUCAAAUAUCAAUCAGAGAAUCCCAAAGGGGUUGAACUUGAAACUGGAAUAAACAGAUCACAUGCACCAGUAGUGGUGGCAGCCUUCAUUAUCUAUGUGCUCUCACUGUCAGACACCAUAAUACUACUCUAUAUCCGUAGAAAAUAUCUAAUCUAAAGCUAAGCUAAGCUUUGUUCAACUGAAAGGUGUUUCGAUUACCUUGGUAUUCACUCCUUCUAUGGUUACUUGGUUUCUCUUAGGGGCUUUUGUGCCCAGCGUUCUCAACCGGUGGAGGAAGUGGUUUGUUUUGGUGCUCCAGCGGCGGACUGGCGUCAAAUGGGACUGGAAUGUAGCGGCAGCAGCUCUGUGCGGCUGAUGUUGAAGCGAUGGAGGCUGUCAGAUUUAGGGUUUCUUACUUUUAGUUUUGGGCUUCUGUGUUGUGUUAUGGCUAAGCUCUUUAUGGGCUUUAUUUUGUUUAUGCUAGGCCUAAGUGCCUCUAUUACUGGGCCUAUGUGCCUUUUCACGUUGGGACCAAUGUGUCUCUUUAUGCUGAGACCUAUGUGUCUCUUGUGCUGGGGUCUUUUAUACCUCUAGUUAGUGUUGUAUUAGGUUGUACUUUUUGGACCAUCUAAUACAUUGCUCCCAUUGACCAAAGGAAAAAAAAAAACUAAGCUAAGCCAAUUUCAUGCAUGCCCUCCAUAAAUGAAUGUAGGUUUUGAACUGGUCCUAUAUAAACAUGUAUCAAAACUAUAUUUUAAAGGUGCAGAUUAAAUAGAUCAGUCAAUGUGAAUCACCUUCAACUCUUCAAGUUACAUGAUAUAUAUUCAUAUACUUUGAUUUCAUUCUCUUUGAAUCCAAUAUAAAAUUAGACAUCUCUUACUCUCCAACAGGAGUUGGCUUGCCUUCUAAGAGACGCUUGAUCUCAAUUUAAGUAAAGGUAAUGUUUACAUUACUCCUUGGUAUCAUCAAAAUGAUAUUUUAGAGGCAACUUGGUUUCUUUAGGAUUAGGGUUGGAGCCCUUGUAUCAUCAUAAAUCAGCAGCACAUGAGUGAUAUCCUGAUCAGAUUUCAAUCCGUAAUUAUUGGGUUUAUCUUAAUUAAAUUACUUAAUCCAUGACCAUUUGGUGGUUAUAUGCUGCGAUCUGUUCAACAUUUGUCAUUAUCAUGAUGUCUAACCAGCACUGAGCACAAAGCAUCUCCUGGUUUUUGUUUUAUUAGCAAGAUUAAACCAGAAAACAAACAAAGUGCCUCGAAUCAUGUCAUGGCUCUCAUAUAAUACCACGUUUCCAUUCUCAUAUAUAUGAAGUAAUCUUUGUAUGAACUUAAACUUUUCACUCAGUUAAUUCCCAAGCAACUCAUCUAAGAUUCUAAGAUUUGAAUACAGUAACUUUGAUCUCUCCCAAGAGUUACUGAUUAGAAUUAUACCCGCGCCUUAGCGCAAUGUAUACAUUUACGGUGUGUUUGGAUGUGGGUGAAUUUCCGAGAAUUUAAUAAAAAAUAAGGAAUUCUCAAUUUCUUAGGACGGUUUUCCUCGUUUGGAUACUUAUCUCAUGGAAUUAGCAAUUUUCACAGGAAAAUAAUCGUGAAAUUUGAGAGCUUAAAUUCCCGACUUGAAUUCCUUACAAAAUAAGCAUCAUUUGUCAAUUUCUUUAACUAAGAUUAGUCUGAAUACAAAUUCUUGUCAUUUUAAAACUCUACAUCAUGAAAUCCAAACAAUGAAAUUCUCAAUUAAUAGGAUUUAAAUUCAUGGAAUUGUAUUUUGAAAUUUCUAUGGACACAUCAUGAAAUUCAAACAAUGGAAUUCUCAAUUAAUAGGAUUUAAAUUCAUGACAUUGUAAUUCCCAUAAUUUUAAAAUUUCUAUGGACAUUAAAAUUACUUUAUCCAAAAACAACGUUAUGAAGCUGGUCAAUGGGUUAAUUGAUUGAUAUAAAUGUUUCUGAUAUGUACUUCAUAGAAUGUNNNNNNNNNNNNNNNNNNNNNNNNNNNNNNNNNNNNNNNNNNNNNNNNNNNNNNNNNNNNNNNNNNNNNNNNNNNNNNNNNNNNNNNNNNNNNNNNNNNNNNNNNNNNNNNNNNNNNNNNNNNNNNNNNNNNNNNNNNNNNNNNNNNNNNNNNNNNNNNNNNNNNNNNNNNNNNNNNNNNNNNNNNNNNNNNNNNNNNNNNNNNNNNNNNNNNNNNNNNNNNNNNNNNNNNNNNNNNNNNNNNNNNNNNNNNNNNNNNNNNNNNNNNNNNNNNNNNNNNNNNNNNNNNNNNNNNNNNNNNNNNNNNNNNNNNNNNNNNNNNNNNNNNNNNNNNNNNNNNNNNNNNNNNNNNNNNNNNNNNNNNNNNNNNNNNNNNNNNNNNNNNNNNNNNNNNNNNNNNNNNNNNNNNNNNNNNNNNNNNNNNNNNNNNNNNNNNNNNNNNNNNNNNNNNNNNNNNNNNNNNNNNNNNNNNNNNNNNNNNNNNNNNNNNNNNNNNNNNNNNNNNNNNNNNNNNNNNNNNNNNNNNNNNNNNNNNNNNNNNNNNNNNNNNNNNNNNNNNNNNNNNNNNNNNNNNNNNNNNNNNNNNNNNNNNNNNNNNAUGAUGAUUAAUAUGCUAUUACAUUUUACCAAUAUCAUUUAAAUGACAUGUUAUAACCAAUACGAUAUUUCUCUUCACAAUGUUAGAUGAGGUUUAAAGUUAUAUCAUAUAAUGUAUUUUUAUUUAUGUGUCACAACAUAAUUCACAAAUGACAUAAUUGGGUUUUAAAAAAAACACAGUUGCUGUUUUUAUGUUUUCUGUACGAGUAAUUUUAAAUACACACCCCUAAUAUCUUAAUACACACCCCUUACUUAAUACAUUACCCAUCUAGUCAAUAUUAUACUAAAUACACAUCCCAAACUGCCUAAAAUACCCUCGAUAUCUAAAAAUAAUAAUAAUUUGUAUUUAAUAUAAUUAUCAUAUAUUCACAACUCUUUUUAUGUAUUCUCUUUUAUUUUCUGUUAGAUUUUUUUUUAUCAGGUUAGAAAAUUUUUCUUGAUAUUUUUCAAUUUAUAAUCAAAAUGGUGAUAUUAUAUUCGAACUCCGAAUCUCCAAUAUGACAUCAAUUAGCUUGAAUUUGAAGAAAAAAAUAAUAAUUGAACAUACAUAAUUUUUUCAAAGUUAAGAAACUAGUAGAAGUAUAAUAACAUAAAAACUAGUUUUUAGUCUGCAAGAUAAAAACUAAAGUUGUACAUGUGAUUAUGACAGUAUUUGAAAUUCAGGUGAUGAAUUUUGGAGAAACAGUUUUUAUUUAUUUUCUUUUGAUACGUAGUAAUAAUGGAGAAGAGUUAGGUUUUUAGAAAAAAAUGAAGUUUCUUUUUUUUCUUUUUUUUCCCUAAUAAUUGAUGGAUGUUUUUGUAAUUAAGCAUACCUAUAAAAUCUGAUGUGAAAUAUAAAAUAAUAGGGAUGUGUAUUAAGAUAUUAGAGGUGUGUAUUUAAAAUUUCUCUUGUUUUUAUUUGUAAGAUUUAGGAGACAGAAGAAAAGUCUAAAUUACAUGUCUAGAAAAUCUAAAUUACCUAUCUAGUCUUGUAUCCUAUCUAGAAAAAUCUAAAGAGAAAUUUUAAAUACACACCCCUAAUCUUUUAAUACACACCUCUAUUAUUUUAUGUUUCUAUUGAAAUUUUAUAGGUAAGCUAAAUGACCAAAACAAACAUCUAUUAUUAAAAAAAAAUAAUACACGCUGGAAGUAUUCUUUUCUAACAUCUUCUACCCUAAAAUCGUCGAAAGCACGUCUUCUCCCCUAACCUCAACUCUUCUCCACAAUUCAUUUGGGUUGUUUCUUUUUUUUUUUNNNNNNNNNNNNNNNNNNNNGAACAGGGUAAAAACACUGUUCAUAGGCUGAAUACAAAUUCUAAAAUUCCCGAUUUGAAUUCCUCAUAAAGUAAGCGUCAUUUAUCAAUUCCCUUAACUAAGGUUAGUCUGAGUACAAAUUUUUGUCAUUUUAAAACUCUACAUCAUGAAAUCCAAACAAUGAAAUUCUUAAUUAAUAGGAUUUAAAUUCAUGAAAUAGUAAUUCUUAUAAUUUUAAAAUUCUAUGGACAUUAAAAUUACUUUAUCCAAAAACAACGUUAUGAAGCUGGUCAAUGGGUUAAUUGAUUGAUAGAAAUGUUUCUGAUAUGUACUUCAUAGAAUAUUAUACAUACAAAUUAUACCCAGCUAUUAUACUGAUUAUAUAUCUAGGGUUAAUGAAAAUAUUGUGGUUUCUUAAAAAUAACAGGGACAAAAUUCUUGGUGUGGUGUAGUUUCCACGUUAUGCAUAUUCCACUUAUGUAUAAGAGUUAUCACAAAAACAACUUUUAUACAACAAAACAUCUAGUAUUGUAUUUUACCCAAAAUAUAAAUGCUCUAAUUAUUUUGAUUUGUAAGAUUCAUGAUGCAGAAGAAAAGUAAAAAAUGGAAGGCAAAAAAAUCUUUGCUAAGAGAAAGCUUAUCUAAAAAAAAUCUAAAUUACCUGUUUUCAACAAAAAAAAAAAAAUCACUGUUCAUAUGCCUAUGAUAUGAACAGUCGACCAAGCUUUAGUAAUAGAUAAAUUAGCGCCAACUGUCAAGAGGACAAAUUUUUGCUGGCUUGCUUUAACCUCAUUUUUCCAUUUUUUAAUAAGGGUACGUAGCCAAGUUUCUAUUUUCUUGCCCACAGAAUUUGGCCCCAGAUCGUUUUCUUGACUUCACUAUCUUUGGUUUUUUCUUCGACAAUAGUAUUUGAGGCACCAACUUCUGUCUCAUCGGAUUUACAUUAAUCACAAGAAUAUCAUGAAAGUUAUUGUGACCUAAACGCUUGCGCCACAACCCUAAUUAAGACAUCAUUACCGACUUUAAUAGGCUUUCCCAUUAGUGGUUUUUUUGUUUCGAUACAAGGAAUAAGUCAUUAGUGGUUUCUCUUGCGUGCAUUUGUGUAAUUGCAACAAAAUAGAACCCCCUAGAGUAAAAGAAAAUUACCUAUGUAAAUGUGUAAUUAAGCAGCAUUGAAUCAAUUAGCAGAGGGAAAUCUUUUAAUCUCGGACAACAAUAAAGGUAAAUUUAUACAACGUUUAUGAACACAUUAUACAAAUAUGAUCCUCUAUAUCCUUCAAAUAAAACUACAAGAAAGUAAAUUUCCUUGGUCGACCAAAAGAAAACACACAGAGUUGUUACCAAAAUAGCAUCUCAGAAACAUCAUAUUGAGAAGACAAAGUCAUUAAUUUACUCAUCUGCAGUAAGAGAAGAGUCGUCUUAUCCAAAUUUUUUGGGGAGGCAGACACAGUCAGCUACGCGGUUUCCAUUAUAACUGCCGAACAUAAUUCCGGUAAAUAUAGCAAAACACAAGGCCAACUUAAUCCAAAACCUUAAUUUUAUAGACACUUGCUAAAAUUCAGUGCGAGAUUUUAUCCAAAAAGAAAAAAUGUGGAUAAGGUAAAGUCCAAAUCAGAAAAGACCCCACCUACCACAUUUUCUAUAUACAGCUUCUUUCUAUUUCUCCCCCUCCUCCUCCUCCUCCUCCUAGUUUUCCAAGAUUAACAUCCACAGCUCUCUUUUUCUCUCCAUCUGUCUUACCCAAUUCAAGCUAGUCAAAAAGACCGCACCUUUUCGUUUAAAGCUUCACUUUUGGCUCAUAAAGCUCAAGUCUUGAUCAAGAUUUUGAGGGAUUUUGAUUCAAGAAACAAGAGGUGAAGUGGGUUCUUGUGGGUUUUUGCCGUUUGUGUCUGAAAAGGGGAUUCAGAUUUGACAUAUUCAACAUGGCAAUUGCUUCAAAGUGUGGUUUGUACAUUUCUGGGGUUCAUGAGAUUAGUCUGCGCUCCAAAUCCAGAGAAUCAAAUUCCAGAGCUUUUCCGGUUUUGGGUGUUGAAUUUUUGGGAAAACCCAUCUCAGAUUACAAGGGCUUAAAGAAUUUGAGGGCCAAGGCCCCCAGAAAUUUAUCUGUUCAUGUAUGUAAAGCUUUCUGCUUUUCAAUCUUAUUAGCUUUAAUUUUAGGAAUUUUUUGUGUUCAAGUUUUACAUGUUACUAAUGGUGUGUAAAUGUAUCUGGGUUCAGGCUCAAGCAUCAAUCUGUGUAAGCAAAGCUAUGAAAUGGUGGGAGAAAACCCUAAAACCCAACAUGGUGGAGAUCCAUUCUGCUCAAGAACUCAUUGAUUCUUUGCAUACUGCGGGUGAUAGAUUGGUUGUAGUGGAUUUUUACUCACCUGGUUGUGGAGGUUGCAGAGCUCUCCAUCCCAAGGUAUAUUUCAUAAAUUCAUAAUUCAAUUUAGAAUUAAAAAAAUUUUCCUUUUGAAAAAUUAUAGCAUGUCUAAUUUUAGCUUGGAGCAUUUUGGGAUAUAUGUUUACCAAUAACUUUGUGAAUUUGUUCAGAUCUGUCAGCUGGCUGAACAGAAUCCAGAUGCAAUUUUUCUCAAGGUUAACUAUGAAGAGCUCAAGACUAUGUGCCAUGGUCUCCACAUUCAUGUGCUUCCAUUCUUUAGGUUUUAUAGAGGCGCUGAAGGGCGAGUGUGUAGCUUCAGCUGCACCAAUGCCACUGUAAGUGUUGCAUUUCCUUCAAUGUUGGUUUGUCAUAAUCGAUUAAAUUGGUGUGUAUUUAUGGUUGAAUUAUGCUAAUUGGAUUCGUUGCUUUACAGAUCAAGAAAUUCAAAGAUGCAUUAGCUAAAUAUGGGGCUGAGGGUUGUAGUCUUGGCCCUGCAAAAGGUUUAGACGAGUCUGAGAUAUUACACUUGGCUGAGAUAGGUGAGAUAUCAGCAAGAUCUUCUCCACCAUCAACCAAAGAAGAGAGAGUGGAGGAGGAUUUGAUCAUGAAAAGUAUAGAUUUGUCUGGUGUUUGGAGUAAUGUUAUCCAUAACCAUGACAUAGAACUCGCAGAAGAAGAAAGUGCCUUGCUAAAGAUUUGAAACAGUUUAGGCAUGUUGGAGUAAAGCAGCUCCAGUUUUGUGACUUUUGUCAUACCAAUUUGUCUGCUUGGUGUUGUAAAUACAUCAUUACUAUUAGGUUUUCCAUAAGCAGGGUUCUGAUCUUUUUAACAUAGAACCCUGCAUUUUGUUAAUCUGUUAUUGGAUUUGAGAUUGUAGUAGAUCUGAUUGAGAGCUUGAUACAGAUCUAGAUUGUUACCUGUGUCAAUUUGUUUUGGUUACCUACAAUAUAUUAGUGAAUCUUGAAUGGGGUCAUGGCAAUGAUCUUUUUCCAAGUUAGAAACUUUCCUGUCAAAUAAUUCCAGGAUUUCCAGCUAUGAGUCGGACCAGUUCAAAACAUGAGUAAAGUUGAUAUGAGUUGGUUUGUCAUUUGUGGCCAGCCUUGAAUUGUUGACAAUGCUGGUAUUCUAUGAACAUUCAAAAACUUGGAUUUCUCUUUGUUCUACAUUUUGAAUUUGAAAAUGAAAGCAAAGCUUUGGGUAAUGAUUUGGCUCUUUUGGAGGUGGGAUCUUCUUCAUUGGGAUUUAUCUGUCCAUUGUGGGAAUCAAUGUGGGGGUUGGAGGUUAACAGACUAAUUUCCAAAGUUUUAGAUAUUCCUUUUUAAUGUCAUUUUCCACUUCCUCAAAAGUUCAUUUCCAAAGUAUAAUUCAUGAGAGAAAACUCAUUUUUCUCAUUUUAACUUUGUAAUUGGUUGGUGACAGAGAACCUAACAUCUGAAAUAGUGUGACAAUUGAGGUGUAAAUCAAGUCCCAUCAUUAUCAUGCUAACUCAAAAGCUAAAUUAGUUAGGUUAAUGCAUUUUCUGGUAUGAUUGUAUGAAUCAGAUAUGUAAGUUUUUCUUUUUGAGUAAAAACCAAACAUAGAAUUCGAGUUACUAAAGGUAAAUUUUGGAGAAAGAAAUGUUUCAACCAACAACUCCAACAAAGAAAGAGGUAUUCAAUUGCCAAACACAAUAGAAAACACAAAGUUGAAAACGAGUUUUAUGGGACAGAUACAAUGGGAGUGAUGUGGAUGACCCAGAAUCCGACUCAGCAUGACCCAGAAUCCGACUCAGCAUGGGUCCGAAGGAGGAUAUAAUAAUAUGACUGCAAAAUCUGAAACAAUGGGCAAGUGGUUUGAGGCACCAUCUAUAUCAUUUGCAGUAUGUAGAAGCUCUGACUGAAUCCAUAUCCAAUCCAGCACACAGUUCGGUUUUCAGUUUCCUCUUCCAUGAUAAUGGAUAGGGGAAAAUGGAUAUUUCUCUUUCUUCCUCCACAUGGAAAUUCAUAUCAUAAUACAUAAUUGGUACAGGCUUGCUCACCAUAUGAAUUGCUGAUAUUCCACCACAUAUGACUUGGUAAUAAUCGUUCUCUUUAGGUGCAGCAACUUAUUUACCACAUACAAGUGAUUUAACAGUUUGUCAUGUGUGUUAACUGGCUGCAGAAUCAUCAUUCACUCGAAGCUAAAGUGGUUUUACAGUUUAACUUAUAAGAGAGUGUUUUGUUUGUGGUUUUUACCUAAUUCAACUUCUUGAUAUGGUUUUCUCAAUAUACAAAUCCAUCAAUUAUGUGUUGUGGAAAAUGAUUGGUUUCAUCUAGAACUGAUCAAUUCGGCCACACUAAAAUUACCUUUCAAGUGAUUUUCAUCAUCCAAUUAGUUCUAGAGAAACUACUGCUUAUUUAGGACGCACAUAUUGUCAUCCAAUAUGUUAGACACCAGCCGAUUGAACUAUUUCAAUAGAAAAAUUACAAAAGAAUGAAAAGAUAGAACACAAUACACAUAACAAACCGAGAAUACCAAACUUAAGAAGUAGCAGAAUAUAUCAUAACGAGGACAACAAUGAGAAACAAUAUUUUCAAGCAGCGAGUGAGAAAAUAUUAUCAAACUUGCAAUUCCUAGUAUUUUCCAAGCGUCAAUCUUUAUUCAAAAUAGAAUAUAUGGCCGGAAACCUAAUCUAAAAGCUGGAUUACAAUAUCAAUCCCAUUAUACUCGCUCUUAAGCACUCCCUCUUCUCUAGUUGUAAACCAACCACUCAUCUCCCUGAACGAAAUUCUGCACGGAAUAAGCAUCAACAUGCUCGGCCGGAAUCUCACUACUCCACUUCACCCUCCCGGCCAAAUCUGCCCCCGGUCCCGAGUUCCCAUACUCCCCAUAGUAAAGUGUCGCCAAAGCAAACUGGUCACUCCAAGGCAUCCACCCUUCCUUUGAAACCAGACCUUCCAUGCUACAAUUCAAGAACACCGUCCUCGAAAACUCCUUCCAUGGCCUCCCUAAGUAGUUCAAAUGCACUUUGGGAUCCUUUUUGUACAACUUCAUGUACUCUUCCGUCCCGUUAAUGAAGCAGUUCCGGAACACGAACCCCGUCGCCUGCGCCGGGUCUGUCCUGCCGUGAGCCGUCACGGCGUUCUUCUCCCCUUUCUCUGGGGUCACUUCCCUAGACUCGAUGAGGAUGGUGCAGUUGUCGAACAUGGCAGCCGCAUUUCCGAAUAUGAAGUCGACAUUGCCUUGGAUUCUGCAUGACUUGUAGAGCUGGCGGUUGCUACGAGCGUAGAGAGUGUCUUGGUGCCCAAGGAACUCACAGUCCUCGAUGAUAGAGCGAUCACUGUCUGAUCGGAAAGCCACCGCCUGGUGGACCUCCUGCUUGGCGUCGGGGCCGGCCUUGUUCUCAAAUGUGACGCCGCUGGCCAUGAAGCCGUCGCCGUAAACAGCCACGGUGGCGGAGUUGUACGUCCCAAUUCCUGGCAGGCCCACAUACAAAGACCCUGUAAUUACUGUUUUGCCCAUGCCUUCCCCUAGAAACACAACAUUCCUCUUCUCUAGAGGAAUCCCAACAAUCUCUUCAUACACCCCGGCAUUUAUCUUAAUCACAAAAAAUUCGUUGGAAUUUUCCGGCGCCGCGUCCACCGCUGCCUGUAUGGUCCGGUAACAGUCAGUUUUAUCAUCCUUACAAACAGUCACGUUCACCGUCAGAUCUUUUGGUACAGAAUAGUCUGAGGACGAAUUGUUAGAGAGCGUGACCUGCCAUAAUCCGUCACGCUCGGUUUUGGGCGGGGACCAAGACUUGGUGUCGUUUCCAAAGUUUUCAUACGAAAAGAUCAUGCUGAGGGCGUUGCUGGUGUCGACGGUCAGGGAGUCGUUGAUGAAUGACAUGGUGGAGAUGACCAACUGGGUGUCGUUGGCGUACUUGAAGGCGUACCAGCAGUCAAACUGGUAGAUCAGGGCGGAGCUCAUGGCGGCGCGUGCGGUUUUGGUCCGGCCAUUUUUGAGGGCGUCCUGGGAGAGUAAUAUGCGGUACUCGGAGUUUUGUAGAUUAAUAAUGCAAUUUUUGGCGCCGGUUGUACGGUUCACGCUGCCGGCGGCGGAGUUGAGAAUGUCGGCCACCAUAUUUUGGGCGGUUUUGAGGCCGUUGAAGGAGACAUUGAGGGCUAGCUGGAGAGUUUGGAGAGGGCUAGGGUCAGAGGGAAGGUCAUGGGUUUUAUUUGACAAGGAGGCCUUGCAGGUGUCAGGGAAGCGGGUGGCUUUGCAGGCUUGGUCGAUCGGAGAUGAGGCGGCGAGUUUGGAGUCUGAGAGGAAGCGAGUGGCGGAUGAAAGGGUGAGGGAGAGAGUAAGGGUGAGCGUGAGGAGAAAAAACCGGGAUGCCAUUGACUCCACAGAGCAAUUGUAAUGUUUUGAGAUUUGAUUGUUCUUAGGAGCUGUUAAUAGGCAAUGCAAAAAUUCAAAUUAGGGAAGUUAAUGAAACCUAGCGUUACCAGGAUAGCAACAAGAUCCCGAUAAAAAUAGGAAGGUUGUUGACUUGUUGUACCCGUAUUAAACUAUAGUUAAUUUUCACAGGAACAGAAGUUUCAUAGGCAAUGUAUCCGUUAGAUUGUUCUUCAUGAGAUUUUAUACCAUAUAAAAUACGUUGAUACUUAAUUGGGUCAAAAGAAAUGUAGUAAUCCAUUUCCCAAUCACAAAAGGUAAACUUAAUCUCAUUAAUCGGUGGUCAUAAUGCAGAUCCCGAAUUUUGUUUUCUUUGAAUUUUUUGUUGAGAUGAUCAUUAAUUUACAAUGCUCAAUCGCAUUUUCCGGGUUGUAAUAUCAAUUUGGGUCCUAACCAUUCCUUUUGAGGCGGAGUAUAUAUGCUAGUAUAAUGAGUUAUUGACAUAGAGGCGCCCUACGGUAUAACAACUAACAUGAACCUUAUGGCCCAAGGGCCCAAUGAAUAUAUCAUUACCCAAAACCAUGAAGUAACUAGUAUCAACUAUAAAGUGUCUCAGCUAAACUUAGAUGCUACAGUUAAUAUGUUUAUUUCAAAUGGUUCAUGGGACCUAACUACUAUUGAGAACUUCUUUUACAGGAUCACCUUGGAUACUAUACGAUCUAGUCUCAUCUAUGUUGCUAAUAAACAAGAUGAAGUGAUUUGGGGCCUUACUAGCUCUGGGAUUUUUAUUUUUUUAUUUUAUUAAAACAGCUUAUGGCCUUCUGAUCUGCAUUAUACGGAAGUCCAUUGCCACAGAUAUGGAAAACUCUCUCCCGAUCCAUAACUCUUCCAACCUCUUCCAACGACCCUACUUUUAUAAAGUGGGAUCCUCCCCCUGCACAUGCCGACAAGCUUAAAUUUGACGGAUCAGUGCACAAUCUUUCAGCACCAGCAGCAGCAGGCGGGCUUUGUUGUCCGUAACUCCUUAGACCAUCUCUUAUUAAAAAGUUAAAUUUAACCUAUGUUUACUCUCAUCAUAAGCUAAAUUACAUUUUCUAAGAUAAAAAAUUUGGCUUGAGCUAUUUGGCUUAUGAAGUUUGUAAGCUAAAAUUAAAUGUUAUUUUAUUUAACUUUACAUUUCUCCUUUUAAUUUACACUAUCAUUAAAAUUAAAAAUUCGUUACUCACAACCAUCGCGAAAAUCUAGACGAGAUCUUUCAUAUGAGCUCCGUAUCAAAUAUAUUUAUAUAAUAUUUUUUUAUGAGUAAUUAUUGAUUUAAACAAAUAUAUGAAAAAAGAAAAAUAAAUGACUUUACCUUGGAUUUAGCUUAUGGUGGGAGUGUUUUUUAAAACCAGAAGGCUAUAAAUUUGGCUAAGGAUUUAGUUUAUGGUGGGAGACUCUGGUAAGCUAAAAAAAGAUUCCACAAAAUAUUCUUGUUUUAUAAGUUAAAUUUGGCUAAGAAUUUAGCCUACCAUGGGAGAUGCUCUUAGGCCAGCCAAUUGUUGCAGCUUCAAAGAACCUCGGGUUUGCUAAUGUCCUCGUUGCUGAGGCACAUGCUCUGAGGGAAGGUUUACUACAGCUUUAACAACAACAUCACUUCUCCGGCCUUAUGAGCAUCUUCUAUUCUACUGUAAGUCAAAUUUCAAACCAAAUUUAGCUUACAAAACAAGAGUCUUUUAUAGAAUUUUUUUAGUUUACCAAAUUCUGUCAUCAUAAAUUAAAUCCUUGGCUAAAUUAAGAAUAUUUUGGCUUACAGUAGGAGUGCUAAAAUCCAAGCACUCCCACCGUAAGCCAAAUCCUAAGGUAAAACCAUUUUUUUUCUUUUGUUAUAUAUUUGUUUAAUUCAAUAAUUAACCAUGAAAGAUAUUUUAUAUAAACAUAUUCGAUAUGAGGCUCAUACGAAAGAUCUCGUUACGAUGGUAUAAAAUUUUGUUAGUAACAAAUUUUUAAUUUAGAUGCUAAUGUAAAUUAGAAGAACAAUAUUUAAAGCUAAAUAAAAUAAUACUUAACUUUAGCCUAUCCACCUCAUAAACCAAAUUUGACUUAUAAAAUAUCUCAAACUAAAUAUUUUACCUUGACCUUUACGAUUGUAAUUUGACUUAUGAUAAGGGCAACUAGGCUAAAUUUGGCUUUUUGGUCUUAUCAAGUUAUGCAAUUCGAAGAUUAUAAUUGAUGUCUUGAUGAAUGGAAUAUCCUUGGCAAAUCAAAGUCCCUGUGCAUAUGAUAUCCAGCAUCUCACUGGCCAGUUUGCAGCUGUUUCAUUUCAUCACAUACGGAGAACAGCAAAUUUUCUAGCAAAUACUUCAGCGUCUUCAGGUCACCCUGUUUCUGAUUCUUGUAUUUGGUUGUCUCAGCUACAUCCUCAAGCACAGCCAACGUUCCAUUUCAACUAAAUGGGAACUGGUUGUGCUCAAGGGUUCUCUUUGUAACUUCUAGUUUUUCAAUAAAAAAAACAUAAGAGCAAGUUUAUAAGACUGUACGGGAAUGAAAUGAGUUCUGAUGAUUUUACACAUGAAAGCAAGUUUAAUGAGACGUGACUUUUAACUGGGUUAAUACGAACAUAAUUGCAAAAAAACAACAAUUGCUUAUAGUUUGGUGUGAUAGGGUUUAGGGUAACCUAAGUAAGAGUUAUGUUAUAAGGAUGAGCAGUUACGUCCUUUCAGAUGUUUCCUAUUGCCUAUCAGUUUUGGCUAAAUUGGCUUCUCAGAUAACAGAAUCACAAAGUUCUUGAUUGAACUCAAUUGUCAGUUGUCAGUUGAAACAGAAAACCAGGCACCUGGAGAAGCACAGAAUCUUAGUUGUCAGUUGAAACAGAAAAUAAAAUGACGGUGAUAUUACAUUGAAAGAACAAACAAACUCAUUACAAAGUCAAGAAUAUUGAUUGUGAAAAAGCCUUCAUAUACUAUCCAGCGGUGUGAAAGUAAUUUCAUGAUGUGCUUUUGGAGCCAGUACUAAGUCAAGCUUCCACAAAAACACAUUUCAAAUCUCCGUUCUUUGAUUCAAUCAUCAGGCUUCUCCAAAACAAUGGCACAAAAGGAAAGACAACACCAAAAUCAUGACACAGUUGUACCAACUUCAACAAACAAAAAUCAAAGACAUCAAGAACAAACACAGAUGGAUAUAUUGCCUCAGAGGUAGUGACAACAAUGACAUAUAUCAUCAUACUUGAUAUCUGAUAAUACGUGCAUAAAAGCAUCAUCGGCAAGAAUAAACCAUCGAAACCUCUGCAUUAGAAAAAUCCCCAAAAGGGAGCAUCGGAUUCAUACCUUUAGAACAGAAUUUCAAUUUCAAUGAAUUUGUUUAACUUUGAAUAAAUUGAAGAGAAAAAAACAGUUAUAUGCAUCAGAGAGAUUCCCAUUAGAACAAGUCAUCAAUCUCCGUAGAGUGCAGAUGUCCCUGUCUGUUUUCUCAUCACUCGCAACCCAUAGAAACAAACAGAUCUGAGCGAAACAUAAAAGAGACCAAACCAAACUGUACAGAAUAGAAAAUAUUGAAGAGCCGGUUGCCUCAGAAGUGAAGUUCUUUUCAUAGAAGUUAAUCUGCAAAGUAUAUUUAACACCAUCACAGGCAUCGGCUAAAAUCACAACAAAAAACAGAACCGAAAUAGGAACAAGAACAAUACAGAACCGAAACAGGAAUAAGAACAAUACUAGAUUACUACCAUGGAAUUGAUAGACCAAAGACCAAAUACUGGUUCUGGGUUACGAGCAUCAAACAUGAUAGCCCCAGGGCCGAGGGGAAGAAGACGCUAGAGCAGAGGAAGGCGGGGAAUAGAAGAUUGUGAGUUAGGGUUUUAGGUUGUAGUGGGUAUAUAUAGUGGCAGACUGGGCAAUUAGGGCGCAACACUAUUCGGCCCACUUCGAUAGUCACCAUGGAAUACGGACAUCUAGUGAAAAGGCCCACAGUUAGUUAAAUUAAAAUGUCUCUGAAUUAUAGUUAAGAUUAUAUUGACAAGCCCAAUACCGUAUAGUCUAAUAACAUAAGCCUUUCAUUAUAAGCUAGAGGUCGUGAGUUCAACUCACAGUAGAUUCGUUAUAUCAUAUUAGUUAUUUAUUUGAUAAAAAAAAUUACACAGAAGAUAUUGUCCAUUAAACCUAGUAGUCGAAUAUUGUAGCUUGGACGUUUAACGAUUGGAACACUCUCCUCUACCUCUCCUCCAAUUCUUUCAUUUCCGAAUAUGUUUCCUUUAUUUUUCUCUCACCUUGGUUCUGAGAAACCCUAAGAGAGAGAAUGUGAAACUCUGAGAUGGAGGUGAAGAAAGAGAGAAGAUAUAGGUUUGGAUUUUGGUUUAUGGGCAAAGGAUAUUUUUUUUUUGGGAAAUAAAUGUUACUCAUCGGUCGUACAACCCAUUCAAUUAACAAAAGCCAAACUACUAACUGGCCAAAAGCCCUGCCUGGUCAAGCAUAAUAUAAAAUGAAACAAAAUUUAGACCUCAAAUAGUCAUUAUUCCUAAAAAAAACGAGAUGCUAAAAACUAAAGUCUAAACAAGUGGACAAACUGAAAACUAUAACUAAUAAUAAAACUUACAAAGAAUAAAGUCAACAUAUAACCUUAAUUCUCCACAUCUGCCUGAAAUAGCCUUCCACCGGUCAACACAGUAAACAUCAUUGAGACAAGUUCACGUUGCAGCCCAGAUAGGAAGAGGAAGAUAAUAGGCAUCCAAAGCCCAAUGCCUAAGGCCCCAUAAGAAGCCCAAGAAGCAAGAGGCUUAACACUUUAACAGCCCAAAGCCAUUCGUCUUCCCUCCUCUUUCAGUCCACCACCAUACCAGACACGAGAUGCUUUUCACAGCCGUUCCAGCGGCCAACCUCGAUCUUCCACCAUUCGGUCCAAUCUCCUAGAGAACUGAGCCGCGCCCCACAACACCCAAAAGCAACCUGACAUGCCGCCUCUAAGCAAGCAACAACUAUAGGCGCGCUUCCUUAACCUCUAAAAACUGCUCAAGAAUAGCCAUCAGUCAUAUCCAAAGCAAGCGCCUCCUGCUUGCCCAUCGCCUUCUCCCACCUUGGUGACCAAAACAUAAACCAACGCACCGACUCCCUUAGAACAUGAGAACCAACGCUGAUAUCAACUUUCAAACGAAUCCACACAGCGAAGACGAACACCGCUGCAACUCGGUGCGACCAUAAGGCAACCCUCUUUAUCAUCUAAACCAUGACGCUUGACGACGCACUUAUUGGCUGGAUGCGAAGGAAGAUGUGCCACCACCGCCAUGCUCACAAAAUCUAAGGGUUUCGUUGUAAUUUUUGGUCUUAUUCAUACUGCUUGGUUUCUAAGAAAAAGUUGACAUAGGAAGUUUUGGUUUUAUUUUUGUGAGAAAUGAAUAGUUCAUUACUUAAAUACAAUGCCUACAAACAGAAAAAAUAGCUGAAAAUGUAUUAAUAACAAAGAGCAUAGGUCUUCAACUAGAUCAAACUAGAAAGAGUGCGCAAUAUAUGGACUAGAGGCUCUACAACCAAAUAUAGAAAAUCAUCAAUACUAACAAUUCUAUCACGUACCCACCAUUCAUGCUCACUAGCAUCUAGUCGUCGUCAUCACCAAAAGCCAUGAGGUAAUGAGGAGUACCAAAUCGAAGCAUUGAUGCCGAGCAACUGAUGUCAAUAAAACUCUGAUGCACAGAUCAUAUAUAAACCCACGACCUAGAUGAAGACCUCCCUCAAAACAACACCAUACAAUAUCGAAACCCUAGCCAUGAAGUUGUGGCUGAUGAAAAAGGACCGAGAGCUAGAUCCAAGAACCAAAUUUAAAGAAAAAUGAGGGUGAUGAACCCACGCGUGAGCACACAUAAUCGAAUAGGUAAGUGCCAAAAUGCAUUUUAAGAGUGCAACAACACAAGCUCUCGUGAAUGUUGUUGAUUGUAUUGAUGAGUUAUUUUGGUGUUGGGUAACCAAAAAUCUGAAGAAGAAAAAAUUGGGAUUGUAGUGUGAGAAAUGGUGUCCUCCUUAUAUGGACUUAGCAAUUAUUGUCCACAAAGAUAUGAAAAUCACCACAAGGGUGACUUGGACCCACAAACAUGGAACCCGGGAUAACUUAAAACAUAAAAUAAAGAAAGCAAUUAAAAAAAUCCUUAUGUAUAUCCACAACCUAUUCCUAAGCCAAACCCAAAUCCAAAACCUAGGCUCAGACCCAAGCCCAAUGAACAUGAGGUCAAAGCCACACUAUAGGCCAAGGUUGACCAAGGGAAAAGAAAACCUAAAACACUUCUGCCUAGAUUAAAGGUAUUCAGGCCCAUGGAGCCAUGGUACCAAACCGCAAAACAAGAACUAGACCGGCGUUCCAGUGUUGUCCCCUACGUCACUCUGUCGAUAUCGAACUCCCACCACCAACAUGGAACAGUUGUGCCUACCAUUCACGCACCAGCCUUCAUGGUUGAGACUCGAUUCAAUAUCCGAGUUAAGAUAUGGAGAAACCGCAGCCUUACAGACCCUUCAGCAAGCCACCUCAUUGAAUCACCAACUCUAGUCAGACCACCGAUUUCCUAUUGCUCAUACCCCGCUUCGCUACACCUUUUAAGCACUGUUGAUAUUAGAAUGUUGCUUGCAUUAAAGAAUCUGUCGCCUUGCUUUCAUCAUCCUCGACUGCAACCAACCUUCAUCAGCAAUCGAUCUCAACUCUCAGCACACCAUUAAUCUGAUCGAACCAGGUUUCACCCACUGCCCUAAUUAGACAGGACCCAAAAAUAAUACCCUCAAAACAUGUCCAGGAUAGGUUAGCCAACAAGAACUAUCCCCCUACAAGAUUUACUACGGCCACCAUGGAUUCCUCAUCCCACGUUCCUCUUAAACCAGCAACAACAAACGCGUUCAUCGACGCAAAUUCGACCCGCAAUGUCAACUUUCAAAAGUUAAGCCACCAGCUCUUAAGGACCUCAAUCUCUCCAGCUCUUAAGGACCUCAAUCUCUCUAGCCACUUGACACCAACCCCAUCGAUCGAGAGUGAAACCGCCUCGAUCAAUAGACUCACUCUCACCCAAUAACAGAUCUCAUCCAGCGACAACGUUCGUGGACGCACCGUCGGAGAGAGGCUACACUUUGUUUUUGAAAACCCUAAGACAAUGUCGGAGGGGGUACCAGCCAAACAUGCAAUUGCCACAUGUCAGAAAUUUGCGUUGUUUCAGCCUCGAUACAUAAUUAGAAGUUUUCCGGUGAAAGACACAGUUUAAGUCUUUAAGUCUAUAAGACGAUUCUUAUUUACUACUCACAUUUUUUUAUCACAUAUUACAACUUCGUGAGUUGAACUCACAUCCUCCCACUUACUAAUUGGUGACUAUGUCGUUAGACCAAAUGGUACUGGGCUAGUUCGUACAUUUUUGCUAAAAGGUUUAAUCUAAUGUUUUGCUUGGAUUGUUUAGUGAAAGCUAAAUACCAUUUCUAUAUCAAUUUAUUACCCAUGGUUUAGCAUUGCUAGAGGCGUUCCUUGUCUAAAAAAUUUAACACCAUGGACAAGAUCUUUGAAAAAGUUUUAGAUUUACUCUAUGUAAAAGCGGUGCGUUUUAUUAUUAUUAUUAUUAUUUUUUAAUCAGGUAAAUUACAACUGCGUGAAUCGAACUCACAACCUCCUACUUACUAAAGAGGAGACUAUGUCGCUAGACCAAAUGAUACUGGGCUUUUAUUAUUUCAUUAUAGUAACGUAAUUAUUGACUAUUUUUCAAAAAUAUGGCAUUCAUUGCUCUCGGCCCCUGUCAGAGCAGGGGGAUGAAGCGGCGGGUGGGGCGGCAUCGGCGAAGGAAAGAGAGAGAGAGAGAGAGAGAGAGAGAGAGAGAGAGAGAGAGAGAGAGAGAGAAAGAGAGAGAGAGAGAGAGAGAGAGUUUUUAGAUCUGAGAGAUAAGAUAGGAGGAGGGUAAAGUAGACACUUUAUUAAGAAUCAUGGAAAAUGGGCCAUGAGAAAAGGUUUUCAUUGGAUCGGGAUUUAGGAACCCUAAUUUUGGGUAUUUUGGUAUUUUCCCAAUAAACAAAGCAAUUUAGAAAAGGGUGUGGCUAUUGCCACCCCACCAAAUGCUUUGUUCACCCCACAUUUCAAUUUUAAACUAAAUAUUCCAAUACUAACCCCACAAUCAAAAAUUUUUGUGAAAAUAUAAUAUUAAACUAAAAUUCAAACAACACCAAUUCUCUACAUCUUUACAUUGGAAAAAAAAAAACAAAAUCUCUACAUUUUUCAAAUCAGAUUUGAGAAUCACUUCAAUCUUCAACAUGGUGGUUAUACAGUGUGAUAUAUGAGAUUGUUCGUUCUUAUUUUUAUUUUAUUUAUGGCUUCAAACUUAGUAUUUCAUAUAUAUAUAUAUAUAAUAUUCAUAAUCGUAAAGAAAGAACUCAAGAAAAAGAUCGAGGAGACCAUAGGAUGUGGUUUGAGAAGAAUGGAGGUAUGCGUCAAUUAUAUUGAUGAAAUAUUUGUAUAUAUUUUACCAUUUUUGUAAUUGUAAGUUAAAAGAAAGAAAAUAAAAACUAGAUUUUCACAAAAUUUUAAUGGCAGAAUUAGAAUUUUAAAUGUGGGGUGAAUUGAGCAUUUAGUGGGGUGGAAAUAGCCGCACCCUUAAAAAAAUCCUCAUGUAUAUCCACAACCUAUUCCUGAGCCAAAACCAAAUCCAAAACCUAGGCUCAAGCCCAAGCCCAAUGAACAUGAGGUCAAAGCCACACCACAUGCCAAGGUUGACCAAGGGAAAAGAAAGCCCAAAACACUUCGGCCCAGAUUAAAGGUAUUCAGACCCAUGGAGCCGUGGUACCAAACUGCAGAACAAGAACCAGACUGUUGUUCCAGUGUUGUCCCCUACGUCACUCUGUCGAUAUCGAACUCUUACCACCAUCACGGAACGGUUGUGCCUACUAUUCACGCACCAGCCUUCAUGGUCGAGACUCGAUUCAAUAUCUGAAUUAAGAUGUGGAGAAACCCCAGCCUACAAUCCCUCCAGCGAGCCACCUCGUCGAAUCACCAACUCUAGCCAAACCACCAACUUCCUAUUGCUCAUACGCCGCUUCGCUACACCUCUUAAGCACUAUCGAUAUUAGAAUGUUGCUUGCAUAAUAGAAUCUGCCGCCUUGGUUUCAUCAUCCUCGACUGCAACCAACCUCCAUCAGCAACCGAUCCCAACUCUCAGCACACCAUUAAUCCGAUCGAAUCAGGUUUCACGCACCGCCCUAACCAGACAUGACCCAAAAGUAAUACCCUCAAAACAUGUCUAAGAUAGGUUAGCUAACAAGACCUUUUCCCCCCUACAAGAUUUACUACGGCCACCAUGGAUUCCUCAUCCCACGUUCCUCCUAAACCAGCAACAACAAACGCGUUCAUCAAACGCAAAUCCGACCCGCAACGUCGACUUUCAAAAGUUAAGCCGCCAGCUCUUAAGGACCUCAAUCUCUCCAGCCACUUGUCACCAACCCCAUCGAUCGAGAGUGAAACCGUCUCGAUCAAUAAACUCACUCUCACCCAAUAAUAGAUCUCAUCCAGUGACAACGUUCAUGGACGCACCGUUGGAGGGAGGCUACACUAUGUUUUUGAAAACCCUAAGACAACGAGUUGCCACAUGUCGGACAUUUGCGUUGUUUCAGCCUUGAUCCAUAAUUAGAAGUUUUCCGGUGAAAGACACGGUUUAAGUCUUUAAGUCUAUAUAAGACGAUUCUUAUUCACUACUUAGUGGAGUAUUAGUUCGUACAUUUUUUAUUAUCAUAUAUUACAACUUCGUGAUUCGAAUUCACAACCUCUCACUUACUAAUUGGUGACUAUGCUGCUAGACUAAAUGAUACUGGGCUAGUUCGUACAUUUUUGCUAAAAGGUUUAGUCUAAUGUUUUGCCUGGAUUGUUUAGUGAAAGCUAAAUACCAUUUCUAUAUCAAUUUAUUACCCAUGGUUUAGCAUUGCUAAAGGCGUUCCUUGUUUAAAAAAUUUAAUACCAUGGACAAGAUCUUUGAAAAAGUUUUAGAUUUACUCUGUGUAAAAGCUUGCGUUUUAUUAUUAUUAUUACUAUUUUUUAAUCAGGUAAAUUACAAUUGCGUGAGUCGAACUCACAACCUCCCACUUACUAAAGGAGAGAUUAUGUCACUAGACCAAAUGAUACUGGGCUUUUAUUAUUUCAUUAUAGUAACGUAAUUAUUGACUAUUUUUCAAAAAUAUGGCAUUCAUUGCUUUUAUUUUUGAAAUUACUGGUCUAUAAUAGUCCACUAAUACAUGAGUAGAGUGGACCACACAAAAAAGGGAAAAGCGAUAAUCUUCUAAAUUAUGUGCGGUCUCGACGUAAAUUGUUUUAAUUUUUAUAUCUUAUUUUAAGAAGAAAAUAAUCAAGAAUGAAACUCAUAUGUGAAAACAGUUUACUGUUUCUUAAACCAUGUAUUCUCCCACUGUUUUUCAAAACAACAGCACAAUCCAUUGUUUUUGCUUUAAAAACGGUCAAUCUAGAAUCAUCGACUAGCCUAUAAAAGGAACUCAAAAGGAGUAUGUUGUGCACUAAAGUUUUCAUUUCUCAUUAUCUUACUAAUUUCUUGGUUAAGUUCUAUUUUCACAACAUAAAUUAUGAUAGUCCAUGUUUUGAGAAUUGUCGGGUGUGAAGGUGAAGAGGAAGAUGAUGCAGCUAAAAAGAUCUUUAUAGCAGCUAAAUCAAUCAUCGAAUCUAUGAUUUACCAGAUCAAAGAGGUAUGAUACAUAUAUUAUUUACCAGAAAAAUCAAUGAUUGAUUCAAAAACUCUAACAAUAAAGUUGUGCUUAAAUGGUUCUCUACAGUAUUUCACACACGUACAAUCGAAGAUUGUAACGAGAUCAGUUCCUGAAAUUGUUAGGUUUAUCCUUUACGAGGUGACACCUAAACAAAUGAAGGAAGCCAACAAAAAACACAAAGCGAUAAGUAUAUCGGUGAGUUAUAUCAUGCAUGUUCCUAUUAUAUGGUAAUAGAUGAAUUGGAAAUACUAGGAACUUAAUUAUAUUUUAAAUAUGCAUGUUCACCAUAAUUGCGAUUGGUGUUCUCUUUAGGAUCCGGCUAAUGAGGGGGAGUCGUACAUGGAGAUGGUUUUACGUGUAGAAUGGGACGCUGAAAGAUCGAAGUGCUAUCAUAAAUGAAUUGAAGGAUCUUCAAAGAAGCAAAGAAGAAGAAAGUAAAUGUUUAUAAGAGUAUAUAAUAUUGCUUAUUCGGUCCUAGAAUCCUAGUUAGGAUUAAUCACUACAAGUGGCCUAUGUAAUACUCGAACAAAUUUAAAAGUUUUUAUAUAUUUAGAUAUGUGUGAGCCUCGAAAUCUUUAUUGAGAUUAAUCGUAGCAAUUUUGAUAAAUUAUUCAUCGGUCAAUAUUAGUGAUUAUUGAUUGAUCUGGUAUAAUCUUUCGUGUGACCUCAAAAUUAUUUGAUGAGUUGUAACAAAAAAAAAAAAUCUGAUGAGUUAAAGUGGGAUUGUUGAAAUGUAUUUUUGAACCUUGGUGGGUAAUAGAACGCUCGAGAAUUAUGAGCCCUGAAAAAUUUUGAGAUUAUUGAAGGAUUAUUUACGAUCUUAAUUGCAAAGUAAAUUCUCAAGGAUGUUUCUGAGAAAUUUUCGCAAGGUGAAAACUUUGAUAUAAGAUUCUGAUAUUAAUAUAUACGUAACGACGAGUUCGUGAGAAUUAUCUAGGAAUUUUUCAGAGUUCUGAGCUAUUUUCUAUGAAAUGUUUAAGUUUGGAAAUUAUAGAAAUUCAUUUAAAAUAAAAAUAGAAAAGGCACGAUGCAAUCUGGAUCGUCCUUUUUAUUAUCGAUUGAUCUGAGCCGUUCGAUCAAGUAUACACUGGGAACUUGGGAAGAGGUUGGUGAAGGAAGGGCGCUUUGAGAACUCUCGCCUUACUUUAGUAAGUCGGCGAACUGGGUCCUAGAUAAUCUAAGUGUUGGAGAUUGGGAGAGGGAGAGGGAGAGUUCUAGACUGAACUCGAAUCUUCGACUCUUUACUUUCCUCAAAACACCGACCUUCCACUGAGAUGGUAUCGGGGUGCUCCACCGCCAGACAACGUCAUGUCCGGCCACUUUACGACAGCGUACCGGCAUCUUUAGCUCUCUCUCUCUCUUGGCGGCUCAAAGAGGAAAAAGAAAGAAGCUUUUGGCACCACCAACCUCCUUCACUCUAUCUCUCUACCAACCUAUUUAAUUACAUCCUCUCCCUUUCUUUUCAAACGAAGUUCUGGACAAGGAAAUUAACUCGUUGAUUUUAGAGAUGACUCUGACAGUCUGUUGUUGCUCAAGAUCGACAUAGUUGAGAAAAUUCUCUAUCCCAAUAAUGAUGGUAAGCCUAAUCGGUACAAUUUAUAUUGUCAGCACUUUAAUUUUGGACUAUUGUUUAUUAAUCUGGGUCAAGAUGUUAAAAUCUAGUUGCUUCUCAACCUAGGUUCAAACCAAGAAGCUAUCAGUGCUCCGAUGCAUAUGAAACAUUUCACAUGCGUCGAAAGUAGAGGAAGCAUUUGAGGUGCCCUACCAUUGUCAUGAAAAAGUAGAAGAAAGAAAAUUGCUUCCAUUUUCUAUCUAAUGUAGCUUAGUUGUACGUUACUAACACAACGAUUUUGAUAAAUGCAUCGUGGUGAGAAAGCCUUCCUCUAGUCAUUAAUCGAUCAAAGAUUGUAACAGUUGACAUGAGUCGAGGGCCUCACACCCAAUUAGGAAGACCUGAGUAAUCAAUCAUGUUGGUGGCUCAUCAUACACUCAGAUCACUAUCAAUGAUUUGUGAACUCAUUCAUCCCAUUCCCAAAUAACAGUUUUUCUUUACACUUCUUCACUUCACAAUUGAUAUUUGCGUAUUAGCAUUUAGCUGGGAUCUCUCAUACAAACAGAAAAAUUCCAAAUGACAAGUCUGGAGAGUUGGUGGCUUGGUAUAGCUCCAUGCUACAAAAGUACAAAUACAAAGCCAAAAGGAACAAAGGCAUGCCAAUUCGACGAUUAACGGCAGUUAUUUCUUGAUAUCAAUAUGGCUUAGUAGCUUGGUCAAAACUACAUGAUGCAGCACCUAUACAAAUUGCACGUCCUACAAGUUCACAUAAUUUUUCUAUAUAAAAAUACUUGUAUUGAUAAAGGAUUAAUGGUAGAGACAAAGAGAUAGCAAGAGAAUCAUCAUCUUAUUCAUUGAUAGGAGCCCUUUAUAUAGGGAAUUACACAAUACCAAUAUGAUAAGGAUAUGAAUACAUAGAUCUAGUCUAACUACAUAUCCUAUUGACAUAAGGCCAAGACACACAUAGAGAAUAUCCUAGAACACUCCCCCUUGUGCCGCGCGCUGAUAUGCCGAUGGUGCUGAUCUGUUGCCUCGUCAAAAACCUCGUCAAGUCAUAAAAACCCUGUGGGAGAAAAACUGAACCUUGAUCGUAGGAGAAAAAGAGUACAACGCACCCUUCACAUUUGAUAGUGACAUGUAUGUAUGUGCUAGACUCCCCCUGAAGUUCGCACCUCUCCCUGAUCUUUACAUCAAUCAUAGGGCUCUUCCUGAUUCUUACAAAUCACGGAAAUUUCAAAAACUUAGCAUGUCAAUGCUCUUUAACAUGUCUUCAAAUGUGGCAUUGGGCAAUGAUUAACUAAAUCAUGCCGUAUUGUCCUCAAAUGAUCUUUUACACUUAGAUAUUGAGGAGAAGGUCGCUUGUGAACUCAAAACAUAAGUUCGUGCAGGAAAUCAGGUUUCCACGCAGCAUGACCUUCAAUUACUAGAACAGUCGUAAAUUCCUCUAGGAAAUACAUAUGAACGAACCGUAAACGGUUUUGGAAACUAGACUCAUUUAGCUUUCCAACCGUAUAUUACACACAUUCUGGUUCAUCAGGAGCUGUUCACAAAAUCCGGUCGAAGUUGACUGUUUUGCCAAAAUCAGAUUCUCGGACAGAUUCGUCAUACUUUACGAAAACGGCUAUAACUCACUCAAUAUGAUAGGUAUGAUCAAAUGGUUGGUGUCUCUGGAAAGUAGACACAUAGACCUUUCCAAUGGUACCAAUUUCACCAUUUUCCAGUGAGUGAGAUUUCCUAUAGGUCCCGUGGAAGUUGACCUACAAAACUUGGCAGAUUCUGAUUUCGCUAUUGAUGUGUCUUUCUUAUGUAGGGAUAGAAUAAGCCUCAACCUUUCAUACCAUUAAGUAUUGAAAAAUGAGUUACUGCCAUUACAUUGGCGUUGCGUGGGCGCAUAGCUACACUUAGCUUUACAACUUUUCAUAGCGAAUGAGAUGUCAAGUCUUUCGUAUUGUGUUGAGUACAUUGAUGCGUCUAAUUGUACUUAGAUGAGAACNNNNNNNNNNNNNNNNNNNNNNNNNNNNNNNNNNNNNNNNNNNNNNNNNNNNNNNNNNNNNNNNNNNNNNNNNNNNNNNNNNNNNNNNNNNNNNNNNNNNNNNNNNNNNNNNNNNNNNNNNNNNNNNNNNNNNNNNNNNNNNNNNNNNNNNNNNNNNNNNNNNNNNNNNNNNNNNNNNNNNNNNNNNNNNNNNNNNNNNNNNNNNNNNNNNNNNNNNNNNNNNNNNNNNNNNNNNNNNNNNNNNNNNNNNNNNNNNNNNNNNNNNNNNNNNNNNNNNNNNNNNNNNNNNNNNNNNNNNNNNNNNNNNNNNNNNNNNNNNNNNNNNNNNNNNNNNNNNNNNNNNNNNNNNNNNNNNNNNNNNNNNNNNNNNNNNNNNNNNNNNNNNNNNNNNNNNNNNNNNNNNNNNNNNNNNNNNNNNNNNNNNNNNNNNNNNNNNNNNNNNNNNNNNNNNNNNNNNNNNNNNNNNNNNNNNNNNNNNNNNNNNNNNNNNNNNNNNNNNNNNNNNNNNNNNNNNNNNNNNNNNNNNNNNNNNNNNNNNNNNNNNNNNNNNNNNNNNNNNNNNNNNNNNNNNNNNNNNNNNNNNNNNNNNNNNNNNNNNNNNNNNNNNNNNNNNNNNNNNNNNNNNNNNNNNNNNNNNNNNNNNNNNNNNNNNNNNNNNNNNNNNNNNNNNNNNNNNNNNNNNNNNNNNNNNNNNNNNNNNNNNNNNNNNNNNNNNNNNNNNNNNNNNNNNNNNNNNNNNNNNNNNNNNNNNNNNNNNNNNNNNNNNNNNNNNNNNNNNNNNNNNNNNNNNNNNNNNNNNAUCUAUAUGGAUUGGAUUUGACAUUGAGGCGUCCCCAAUGAUAAUCACAAUUCAGACUUCAUAAGACGGAUUUGAGUAUCACUGAUCAAUGGAUCAAGUUGUGCCAAGCUCGCUUUCUUUCUAGUGCAAGACAAUAUCGAACCUAAGGGCCUCCCUCCUUUUAGGGAGCCACACGGCCUUGUGACACCAAUUUUGCCACUAUAUGGCGUCACCAUAUCACCAUCCAUGGUGAUGGCGUCAAGACCAACACUUUUUGGUCGCGCCAUGUCCUUUUGUAGGACAUCAAUCCUUACAGACAUAUUUGCAGCAUGUGAUCUCGUCACUUUAACACUAUAAGCAUUUGGGAUCAAGAUGAGACUUACUGGGGACAAACCACGACAAUUCACGUCGUUCCACUUGAACACUUGUGUUCUUAUCUCCCCCUAACGGCGAGAAUAUUGUCUCAUCAAAGUGAGAAUCCGCAAUUUAGCGGUGAAUGAGAUCGCCUGACAAGGUUCCUACAUAUGCGGAUAAUAGGUGGAGGUUCAUAUCCAACCUAAACUUAUUCAUCUCAAAUGACCCAUCAUUGUACGCAGUGGCAAUGCGAUUUGGCACCUAGAAAUAACAUCUAGCCGAGCUGAAGGAUUGGAGAUCCGUUUCAAUUCUGCCGAGCUCAAGGAUAGCAAUUUCGUGUCAAUCCUGGUACACAGUCACGAGCUGUAGUACAACAAAAUUCAAUGAUGGUGGGUCGUAGAUGAAUAGUAAAGCUGCAUGCAAAUAUUUCAUAGCCCCAAGACGCAAUAGAAAGAGUGGUGCGCAUCAAUAAUGUUCGAGCGACAAGCUAAAGUUGCUUGGUCGUAGCCUCGGUGAGACCGUAUUGCGUGUGAACAUGGGGUACAGGACACUUCAACUUACAUCCCGAUGAACUUCUUUAAAGAAUGGGUAGUGAGCCCGUAGAAGUAUAAGCAGCAUAAGCAGUAGAUAAUAGUGUAACACGUGACCAGUGUGCUAACACUUCAACCAACACCAUAAAGCAUAAAAGGUGUCCGCAAGUUGGUUGUAUCUAUCUACAUANNNNNNNNNNNNNNNNNNNNNNNNNNNNNNNNNNNNNNNNNNNNNNNNNNNNNNNNNNNNNNNNNNNNNNNNNNNNNNNNNNNNNNNNNNNNNNNNNNNNNNNNNNNNNNNNNNNNNNNNNNNNNNNNNNNNNNNNNNNNNNNNNNNNNNNNNNNNNNNNNNNNNNNNNNNNNNNNNNNNNNNNNNNNNNNNNNNNNNNNNNNNNNNNNNNNNNNNNNNNNNNNNNNNNNNNNNNNNNNNNNNNNNNNNNNNNNNNNNNNNNNNNNNNNNNNNNNNNNNNNNNNNNNNNNNNNNNNNNNNNNNNNNNNNNNNNNNNNNNNNNNNNNNNNNNNNNNNNNNNNNNNNNNNNNNNNNNNNNNNNNNNNNNNNNNNNNNNNNNNNNNNNNNNNNNNNNNNNNNNNNNNNNNNNNNNNNNNNNNNNNNNNNNNNNNNNNNNNNNNNNNNNNNNNNNNNNNNNNNNNNNNNNNNNNNNNNNNNNNNNNNNNNNNNNNNNNNNNNNNNNNNNNNNNNNNNNNNNNNNNNNNNNNNNNNNNNNNNNNNNNNNNNNNNNNNNNNNNNNNNNNNNNNNNNNNNNNNNNNNNNNNNNNNNNNNNNNNNNNNNNNNNNNNNNNNNNNNNNNNNNNNNNNNNNNNNNNNNNNNNNNNNNNNNNNNNNNNNNNNNNNNNNNNNNNNNNNNNNNNNNNNNNNNNNNNNNNNNNNNNNNNNNNNNNNNNNNNNNNNNNNNNNNNNNNNNNNNNNNNNNNNNNNNNNNNNNNNNNNNNNNNNNNNNNNNNNNNNNNNNNNNNNNNNNNNNNNNNNNNNNNNNNNNNNNNNNNNNNNNNNNNNNNNNNNNNNNNNNNNNNNNNNNNNNNNNNNNNNNNNNNNNNNNNNNNNNNNNNNNNNNNNNNNNNNNNNNNNNNNNNNNNNNNNNNNNNNNNNNNNNNNNNNNNNNNNNNNNNNNNNNNNNNNNNNNNNNNNNNNNNNNNNNNNNNNNNNNNNNNNNNNNNNNNNNNNNNNNNNNNNNNNNNNNNNNNNNNNNNNNNNNNNNNNNNNNNNNNNNNNNNNNNNNNNNNNNNNNNNNNNNNNNNNNNNNNNNNNNNNNNNNNNNNNNNNNNNNNNNNNNNNNNNNNNNNNNNNNNNNNNNNNNNNNNNNNNNNNNNNNNNNNNNNNNNNNNNNNNNNNNNNNNNNNNNNNNNNNNNNNNNNNNNNNNNNNNNNNNNNNNNNNNNNNNNNNNNNNNNNNNNNNNNNNNNNNNNNNNNNNNNNNNNNNNNNNNNNNNNNNNNNNNNNNNNNNNNNNNNNNNNNNGGCACAAUAUGCCAUGUUUCUAAGGACGAUGUAAGUGUACAUCUUGAUUGUAAAUCAAUAUGAACCAUAAGAGGAGAAUAGUUUCACUUCGAAAAAUUCUCAAGGCAUUCAUUAUUGCUAAUGUGAGUACAUCGAGGUCUCAAAUAGACAAAGGACGUCGAUACAACGCCAUAGUACAUAUAACUUGGAACGAAAAUCAAUGUCUAGCCGAUGACAUCAAAGUCAUGGGUAGCUAGAGCAGGAUCCGAAUCUUUGAAAUUCGCGAUCAUGAGGAUGACGUUCUUGUCCUCAUAUUGAUUUUCCAUACAUUUUUGUAUGCAUUCACAAUUUAAAGGAGUUUGACAAUCUUGAAUCAGUGAUCCGAAGAUCCACAACGGUUGCAUUAAUGUCAUGAGCUGACGUGAGUAGUUUUGACAAAAUGGUGUCUAGACCGGGAGUGUCGCUAUUAGAGCCGGCAACACCUCCCCCUCUUUUCUAGACAUCGGCACGACGUUUUCUGCAGUUGCCAUGACCCAUAUUGUUGUCCCCACAUUAGGGGAUAAUCCCAAAUAAGUUUAUCACAUUAGCGUAUAUACAAUUCCUGUUUGUAUGAUCAAAAUCAAGUCUCGUUGGUAAUUCCACACCAACUUGGAGGAUCUAGAGAACUUGAUGAUGAUCGAAUCCGCUAAAGAUUAUGGAUCAUGAUGCCACAAAAGAUCAUCGACAAUAUGUAAUCAAUUAAAGUGGUAAGCAAUCCACUUGACUAAUAACUCAACAAGUAGAGUUAUAUGAACGUUUCGAGAAACGCUCCAUGAGUGCAUUCCACAGUACUUUGUGGUCAUUUACUUUUUGCACAGAUUGCCAUUGAAGGCUUUUGUCGAUGUGGCAUCUCGGCAUCUAGGCUUGUUAGCCUGGGGUCAAAACAUGUGGUUUAAUCCUUUCUAAUGAAAGGUUCCACAGAUACCAAGCGAAGAUCCGCCUUAGGCAUCUAGUACGUCAAAACUCAAAGGAGCAGAAUGUUAAAUUGCUCUUGCAUACAAAACCAAGCUGUUAUGAGACUCGAUAGAGGUCACAAACGAUGCUUUUAAUGGUUUGUCCUUCGGAUUGAUCAUACACAAUCCGGAAAAGCCGCGAAUUGAUCAAACACAAUUCGGAAAAAGGCCUCGGAUUGAUCAAACACAAUCCGGUGAAAGGUCGGGGUUGAUCAAACACAACCCGGACAAAGAAACAAGAGUGAUCAAACACACUCUUGACCCGCGAAUAAAAUUCCGGGAUUUGGGUACCUGCACGCACAAAAUCCCAAGCAUAGAAUGGAGAUGGAGAAGGGAGGAAAGGAUUUUAUCCUCCCCGAGUUAUUGAACUUGGAAAAGUUUAAGGUUUCAAAAAACAUACCUUUCUAGAGGCUGCCGAGAGGAGAAAUAACGUUUUGACUACUUAUACUUCGAAUUUGGGGCUGAAAAUUUGAUAGGAGGAGCAGCACUAGAUGGGGAAACUGCUGUCAAAAUUUCAGGUUGAUCGGAGCAAGGGAAGGUGGUGAACCGGUGGUCGGUAACGGCGGCGGUUUGGAAUCUUCCGGCGGCCGGUUCGGAGACUUUCCGGCAGGUUCUCAGGGUGAGACCGGCGGCAUUGGAUCCGGGGCGGAGAGAGCUUUCUGGGGAUAUAAAAUUCCGGUGGAGGGCAGUCGGAAUUUUGGUCGGAAAUCGGGAAAAACAAGGCUGCCCGAUUUUAGGGUUUUGGUUUUUAGGGUUUAGAAAAAAAUCGUGGGCUAUUGGCUCUAGGGUUAGAACAAAGUGCAUGAUAACGUGAUGAAGGAUUAAUGGUAGAGACAAAGAGAUAGCAAGAGAAUCAUCAUCUUAUUCAUUGAUAGGAGCCCUUUAUAUAGGGAAUUACACAAUACCAAUAUGGUAAGGAUAUGAAUACAUAGAUCUAGUCUAACUACAUAUCCUAUUGACAUAAGGCCGAGGCACACAUAGAGAAUAUCCUAGAACAUGUAUGUCUCAAUUUCAAUGUUAUCAACGUGUUAAAAGUAACUAUUCUUUAAAAUAAGAGUAAUGCUAGAUGAACCACCUUUUGAGAAACCACCUUAAAACCCACUUUAGAUGACAUCAUAUAUGGUAUAGCCACAUCAUCAAAGCAUUAUUUGUGUCUUUUAUAUUUUCAUUUCUUCCGAAUUACAAAAAUUUCUUUUUCCUUCUUUCACUUUCAAUAAGUAAUUUUCGUCUAUAAAUUAGGUACAAGAAUAACACGCAUGUAUCCCUGUAUGUUCUUUUUUCCUCUGGUUGGUAUAUAUUCUCCAGCAUUGAUUGUUAUUUCAUCAGUUUUGAGAAACCACCUUAAAACCCACUUUAGAUGACAUCAUAUGUGGCAUAGCCACAUCAUGAAAGCAUUAUUUGUGUCUUUUAUAUUUUCAUUAAGUGCGGCUAUUGAGACCUCUAAAUUUGCUCACUAGACCUCACUCUAUUGUGAAUUAUUAAAUGACAUAUAUAUCAUCAUACACAAUGAUUAUUAAGGACAGUAAUUAUACAAAAAGAAAUAUUAUAUUUAUUCUCUUUAGACUUUCUAAUUCAAUAAUAAUUGAUUACAUUAUUUAUUAUUUUCCUUAUAUAUUUUCGUUUUCUAAUUUCUUUUCAUUAAAGCAUAUAUAAUAUAUAUAGUUCAUAAGAGCUAAAACAAUGAUCAAAUAUCGAUCAUGUGACAUAAAAUUUUGUAUUAUCAUACAUGUUGAACAAGGUGCAUAAAUAUUUUUCCAAAAAAAUAAGUGUAUAUAUAUAUACAGUCCUCUUCCAGAGUGGGAUCCCGCUUUAAAAUUAAAGUGCGAGACUCUUUAUUUCGCUCACUUUCAAGUCGUAUUUCCACAUCUUAACCGUACAAUGUCUAAAACACAGUGUGUAGAUCAUUUAUGCAAAGUUUUAUCAAAUUUGAAGAUCAUUUGAAUACCAAAUUAGAUUAAAUAAAUCAAUAUAACAAAAGUUGUCCAAACAGAACCGUUCGUGUAAAUUACGAUUACGGAAGCUCAAAUGAUCUUUAAAUUUAAUGAAACUUUGCAAGAAUGAUCUACACAUUAUGUUUUAGACAUUGUAAGGUUGAGAUGUGGAAAUACGACCUGAAAGUGAGCGAAAUAAAGAGUCCCGCACUUUAAUUUUAAAGCGGGAUCCCACUCUGGAAGAUGACUAUAUAUAUAUAUAUAUUUAUCAAAAUAAUUUAUUAUGAGGUAUAAAAUAGAGAUCAAAUUAUUCAAAAUAAAAAACAGAGAAAAAAUAACACAUACAAAAGAGAAAAACAAAAGUUAAAAAGAUAUAUAGAAUAGUUCAUGAUAAAACAUUUUCUUGCAUGAAAAAAAAUAAUCAGAAAAUGAAGGUAGGGAUAAUAGAUGUUCAAAAACAAAAAGGUAAAAUAAAAUAAAAAUGAGAGGUCUAUUGAGUGAAUAAGAGUUAAAGUAAGUAAUUAAUUGAAAUAUAUGUCAAUAAAUAACUAAGGUUAUGUUAGGAAUUUAAAAUGAGGUCUAGUGAAAAAAUACUUAUAUUAAAAAGUAAAGAAUAACAAGAAUAAGUAAUCUUCGUCUAUAAAUUAGGUACAAGAAUAACACGCAUGUAUCCCUGUAUGUUCUUUCUUCCUCUAGUUGGUAUAUAUUCUCCAGCACUGAUUGUUAUUUCAUCAGUUUUGCAACAAAGAAAUAGAACCUGAACUUGUAUUCAAACUUCUACAUCGAUCACAGCUUGAGCUAGUAUUUAUCAUACACCCGUAGACAAGAUCACGCAUACAUAAUAUUUGCUUGAUUUUAUCUUUCAAACUCGGUUUCACCAAUUGUUAUAAGGAACUGGCACCUCCCAGCAAAUUAAGAAAGAUAUAUAUGUAAAAUAUAGCAAGCAUUUUGUUCCAACCAGUGCACCAGGCACUCCAUUCCGAUCCAUUAUUUUCUAUGUUCAUCUUUGCCUCUUACCACUCUUGUUACUGGGCAGUAUAUAUGCAUAAAUUGCCAAGGAUGUCCUAAUUGCAAUUGAAGGCCUUCAAGAGUCCCCAUCUCCCAACUAUAAUGAUGAUGUACCAUGGUCUAACUAGGAAAAGAUCAGUGUUCAUUAUCAACCCAACCUCACUGAAUAUUAAUCCUCUACCCGAUCAUGGUGAUCGAAAACCAAUUCACACAAGGAGUUUUUAUACGAGGAAUCGUAGUCACAUAGAUAUCAAAGAAAACCCAUCCAACUCAACAAUAUAUGACCCAAGAAAUUUUAACAAGCAUCAUGUGAUACUCUAAUUCGAUAUGAGUUGAUCAUGGAAAAGCAGAUAAUUAAGAUGGUUGAGCCGUUGAGGAGAGGGUGAGAGGAGAAUGAUGAAGACGUACGGCAAAUGAAAAAGAAUAAUAAAAUUAGGGUUUAUAUGAUUAAACUAAGAAAGUGUAAAAAAGAAAAAGGAAUUUUAGUAAUUAAGAAUAAUGAAAAUACAAAAGACAUAAAUAAUAGGGCCCUUAAUAAUAUUUGAUGAUGUGGCACUGCCACAUAUACUGCCACCUAAGAGCAAGUUCACCCAUUGGGUUAAAAUGAACAUAGUGAUCUAGGUCAUUAUGGGUUACUGUGACUAGGCAACAGUUUUCACUCGUCUGAAAUGUGAGAUUACGGUCACGUGACAGUGACUGUUUAUUAAAUUUUAAAAUACAUUUUAAAUACAAUUAAAUUUUAAAAUAUAUUUUAAAUAGUAAUUUAUACAUAUAUAUUAUAUGACAUAUUAAAAUUAAUAUUUUUAUUUCAUGACAUAUAACAAGUCAAGCUUAAGAAAUACUUUUAUUUGAUAUUUUCUAAUGAAAAACACAAUCUAAAUUAACUAGGUAUAUGUAAAAUAAGCUAUCAAUCCAGUGAAUAUAUAUAGGGUAUAUAACAUUAAACUACCAUUUAAAGGUACAAAUGAUAAAAUAGUCUUCAAAUGUUUCACUUGAUAAAAAAGUCACCAUUAAAGCAUGUUACAUGAUAAAAUGGUCACCUCAUAACAUCUUAAAUGAUAAAAAUGUCUAUUUUCACACUUUUUACAUGACCAUUAUACCCUUCUCUCUCCCUCAACCAAAUUUCCUUACCAGACUUCCUCGACCUCAACCUUAUCUCCGCCGAAGAAAGUAGGCGGUGGCCACCGUGGCCAAGUGAGCUACUCCCGGCACUCUUUCCCACCCACCCACCCUUUCAGUAACCCAAGGCAAAAAUCCCUGAACCUAAUCUUUCCCACCACCAUCUCUGAAAACUCUCAUUCACCUAGAUCUAGCUAUACCCCUCUUUUCGUUUACCCAGAACCCUCCUCUCUAUCCUCUCACAGGCUAAGCCUUAGGUCCGAGAUGAUUUCCACCUUUGCAUGUCCGAUUGGAACAGUUAUGGCGAGACUUGGUGUUAUCGGCGAGAUCUGAGUCUCUUGGUUUUUGAAUAAAAGUGUUUUUUCUCUAAAUCAGACUUUUCUGAUUAUCCAGGUAUGUAAAUCUCUUCCGAUUCCCACCUAUUUUAGGUCUUAAAAGAGAACGAGGGCUUUACAAGAUGAUACUCUCAUGUAUGAAUCUGCAGAGAAUGAUAGCAAUGCUUUUCUGCUAAGCUUGGUGAUGAUUAUAACCUUGUCUAUUGAAUUUGUUGAGAAAGAAGGCAGUGCGUCAACAGGUAAGAUAGCUAAAACCCAUUUAUAUAUUUCCUGUUUUGCAGUUGAUGUCUUAUGUAUCCUAGGUACUAGGUCAUCUUCAUCUAUCUUAAAGAGGACCAGCCAUUUACCUUUUGAUGAAUCUCAUGUGGUGCCUGCAAUUGGACAAUCUGGUGGUAUUAAUCUUUUGUGGAAUUCCAAGUCUGUUAAUUUGCAAGUUAUUUCUUCACAUGAUAGAUUUGUUCAUUGCAGUCUUACUGAUAUCAAAAUGAAUAAGUCUUGUAUGUUCACUUUUGUCUAUGCCUAUCCCAAAAAGAACAAACAAAUGGCUCUGUGGAAUGAACUAGCAAUGCUUACCUCAGCCAGUAAUCUUUGCUGGGUGCUAAUGGGGGAUUUUAAUAUUAUUGUUAGCCCCGAGGAAAAAUUGGGAGGCAAUGGUGGUGUUACAAAUUAUAUGAUCAACUUCUGCAAUUUUUUGAAUAACAAUGGCUUGGUUUCUCUUGUUGCUACAGGCUUGCCAUUCACUUGGACAAACAAGCAUACAGAUCACUGAUUUUUGAACGUUUAGAUAGAGCAGUAGUAAAUUCAAAUUUCCUUAACUUCUUUCCAGAUGCUAAAUUGGAAAACCUCCCAAUUAUUAUUUCUGAUCAUGGCCCUAUUUGUCACACAGUAUAUUUUUUUUUUGGAAAUGAAAAAUAGAUGAUAAUUAUUUUUCACACAGUAUAAAUUUAUUUAUUUUUAUAGAAAAUUUCAUAAAAGUCUACUUUCUAACAUUUGUUCCUUCAUAAGUCCACCUUAAUUUUUUUACCCAUAUAAGUCCACUUUAAGGGUUAGAUUCGUAAUCUUACUUUCAUUUCAUACCUAAAAUACCCUCCCAAUCACUCCCUACCAAAAANNNNNNNNNNNNNNNNNNNNNNNNNNNNNNNNNNNNNNNNNNNNNNNNNNNNNNNNNNNNNNNNNNNNNNNNNAAAGAGAAGAAGAGGACUAAAACGAUGUUGUCGCAAGCCUCGAAGGGAGCGACGACGGGGUUCGUGGAGCGGGAUCGGCUGUAGUGGGCGCUGGUGGAGUGUCACCGUCGGAUCCCGACGGGUCGGGCGUGGGAAUCGGGUUGCCGGCACCUAAACCGCGGACUUGCCGAGUGCUUGUGUUUCUGUUGAGGAUUUUGGUGUGUUUCUGUUGAUGAAUGGAGUGUUUUAUGUUUCUGUUGAGGAUUUUGGUGACUUUCAAUGAGCUAGAGGCUGCUGCCAUGGCAUGUGCUGAACUGAUGGCCGCUAGACGACUUGUAAUCUGGCUUCAGGUGGUGGUAGUAGUUUUUGUAGAUGGUAGUAGUAGCUUUUGUGGUUGGUAGUAGUAUUUUUUCUGUUAGUCGGAAACCUCACAGUAGUAGCUUUUGUAGGUGGUGGUAGUAGCUUUUGUAACUGGUGGUAAUAGCUUUUGUGGCUGGUGGUAGUAGUUUUUGUGUUUCGUCGAAAACCUCACAGUAGUAGCUUUUGUAGGCGAUGGUAGUAGCUUUUGUGGCUGGUGGUAGUAGCUUUUGUGUUUCGUCAGAAACCUCACAGUAGUAGCUUUUGUAGGCGGUGGUAGUAGCUUUUGUAGGCUGUGGUAGUAGCUUUUGUAGCUGGUGGUAGUAGCUUUUGUGGUUGGUGAUAGUAGUUUUUGUGUUCGUCGGAAACCUCACAAUAGUAGCUUUUGUAAGCGGUGGUAGUAGCUUUUAUAGCAUGUGAUAGUAGCUUUUGUGGUUGGUGGUAGUAGCUUUUGUGUUCAUUGGAAACCUCACAGUAGUAGCUUUUGUAGGCGGUGGUAGUAUCUUUUAUAGCUGGUGGUAGUAGCUUUUGUAGUUGGUAGUAGUAAUUUUUGUCAUCGUUGGAGGUUAGUCGGAAACCUCACCAGAGGUCGGCCGGAAACCUUGCCGGAGGUCGGCCGGAAAUCUCACCGGAAACCUCGUCGGAGGUCAGCCGGAGACUUUUCCAAGAUGAGAGUGGUUGUUGACUUUUUAUACUAGUGGCAUUUUUGUAAAUAUAAAAGAGAGAAUCUAAUGUUUUUUAUUAGAUGGCAGUCUGUAAUUUUGUUCAACUUUUAUACCUAAUAUAAAACCCUAUUUAGGCUUAGGUGGACUUAUGUGAGUAAAAAUGUUUGGGUGGACUUAUAUGAAAUAAAAUGUCUGAAAAUGGACUUCUAUGUAAUUGACCCUUAUUUUUACAGAUUUUCCUAUUUCUACAUGUUAUUAAUUAUAUACUUUUUAAUUAAGUGCUAAAUCAAAAAAAGAAAAAGCAUUUGUUUACAUUUGCAUAAGAGCAAACGACAAAAAGUGAAAGGGGUUGUCAUGGGGCCCAGCCCUAUUGCAUGUUCAGUCCAUUGAGAAGAACAUGCUCUACACGCGGCAUUUUGAUACAGCAAAAAGAUGGCUGUGCGCUUCACGCGGUAAAUGGGGCUGUGAAAUGUUGCUGCUGACCCAGCUUGACGUCACCCACGUAGUGGGUUCAGCUGAUGCGGCGUAGUCGCUGGGCUGGUGUUCUCCUCUCAUCUGAGUUAGAUCUCUCCCUAAAAAUCUAAGAGCAAGUUCAUCCGUUGGGUUAGAAUGAAUACAGUGACCUGGGUCACUGUGACUAGGCAGCAGUUUUCACCCGUUUAAAAUUUGAGAUUACUGCCACGUGGCAUUGACUGUUUAUUGAAUUUUAAAUUACAUUUUUAAAUGCAAUUAAUCGUUUUCUGUAUAAAUAAAUAGUAAUUUAUAUAUACUAUAUGACAUAUUAAAAUUAAUGUUUUUAUUUCAUGACAUUUAAGUAACAAGUCAAGUUUAAAAAAUACUUUUAUUUGAUAGUCUAAUGAAAAACACAGUCUAAAUUAACUAAGCAUAUGUAAAAUUAGUUAUAAAUUCACACGGUAUAAAUUUAUUUAUUUUUACAUAUUUUUUCUAUAAAAUUAUAAAUCAAAAAAGAAAAAACCUUAUUAAAAAAAAAAAAAAAACCUGAAACUUUCUUCUUCUCUGGGCUGCCAUAUUUCUUCUCUGGGCACCCACAGAGGGAGAAGAUGGCGACCACCCACCCACCUUCGCACGCUACCGCUCCGCACAGCAGCAAGCAGCGCAACUCCAGCCUCCUCCGCACGUUGCCGCUCCAGCCUCCUCCGCACGCUGCCCCUCCAGCCUCCUCCGCACGCUGCCCCUCCGCACAUCGUCGUCACAGUCUCCCUGUAGUCAUCACACGCGCGUCUUCCUUCGCUGCAGUUCGUCCGUGCGCGAAACGCAGCUUCCAGGCGCGUCGCUCGGUGGAGGCUUCAUUGCUGACGCAAGCCACGAGCGUGGGCUGGGCUGACGUGGAUCAAUCUCGCCUGGGUCAGUCUUCUCCUCUCACUGGGUUGGAUAUCUCCCCAGCAAACUCACCCGGGCUAGAAAAUGAGUUAUCUCAUUUUAUGGGUGGAAGCAAAAUUUUUUGGGCUGUGUUGCUUUGCCCAUGUGGAUCCAACCUGGGUUGGAUUUUUUGCUCACCGGUGGACAUGCUCUAACCUGGGUUGAAAUAUGAGUAAACCCAUUUCAUGCGUAGAUUAGAGUUUUUUUGGUCUGGGUUAGAUUGCCUAUGUGGCUUCUAACCUGGGUUAAAUUUUUGAAGACGGGUGGACAUGCUCUAAAGUAGGCUGUAAAAUGGUUUCUCUAAAGGUGGUUCAUCUUAUUUACACCUAAAUUAAUAUUUUACUAGACAGUAAUUGUCUAAAAUGAAUAUUAGUUAUAUUCAUGAUCUACGUCACACCGGCGAGCCCAAAAUAAUAGGUUUACAAGUGAUAACCUGCCAGGAAAGUCAUACGAGCUAGACAAGUUGGCAUGGACAAGAGACUUCGCAUGGAAUAGAAGGACUAGGUAACAUGAGUUGACUUGGUUCAAUAUUUAAUUGCCUACAAAGGUGCGCGAGCUAGACAAUACAGUUUAUAUGCGAAGAUGAGUUUACAGGCGAGGAGAUUGCUUGCAUGUGAAGACGAGUAGUUCGCAUAAAAGAAGAAAAGAUGCGGACUCCGCCUAUAGUAUCUCAAUUGGAGAAGGAAGCAAUUAUCCAUAUCUGGCUUGAGCAACUACACGUGCAUGAGUUGCUUGCAUGAGAAGGGGUUGAUUCUAUUCCUUAAUCAUGUAUACAUGAUAUGUAUGCACAUCCAGCAAGAUAAGUUUAGAAGGCCUUUAGGUCUCAACGAGGUAUCGAAACACUAUCUCGCUACCUAGCUAGCAGAGGUAUAUCAAAGAGGCAACCAAGUCUAACUGCCUACGAUACAGUAUUAACGUUGAAGACUUCUACAAGUCUUUGACAUACUUUGGGCCAACACCUGUGACAUUAAAAUAAGUCUAUAUAAAAGAGUUCGAGGAUCCGCUAUAGGGACACUGAACAACUCAACAAAAAUACAAUACAACUUUCAACACAGUUGAACCCCCGACGCUAAAGCAUCACGCCUUAGCCAUUUUCUUUUACAGGCUCCCCGAAGCUUUGCUCUCAUUUCCCUGCUCGCUCCCCGGAGCUUUGCCUUUUUUUAUUUCUUUUCCAGUUGAAGCUUUGCUCGGCCUCAUGUCGAGUAUCGAUAUUGUGAUGCUCAGGCGGACUACUGUAAGUCCUUGCCUAGUACGCAAGGUGAAUCUGAAGAACUCUGCGUGGAGUUGGUGCUCUCUCCAUCCUCAAUCGUUUGAUUAGAAGCUGAAAGCUAAGCGCGCUCCGCUCCUACAACCACUACAUUUCGCAUCCGCGCGGUGGUAAACGCGCAACGAAUAAAAGAGAUUUUGUAUACCUAGACUUACUGGUGUGGCCAAAACACACCUAACAUUACUCAUAAUGUAUUUUGAACUCGUAAAAGUAUAGUAUAACUUCGAAUUUCCAACACUGAACCUGCAAUAAUAUUUAUAAAAAAUAAGUACAUAAUUUCGCUACAUGAAGGUUAUCUUUCGAUCUCGAUGUGCCUGAUCGUGCUUAAGAAAAUAUCCGAUGAAAUAUGUGACCGUUUUUCAUGGCAUCAUCAUGGUCACUAACAUCGCUUCUUUGGCACCAUAAUAAGGAAUCCUAAUUAAAAAUUGUCGAAGUCAUCCUCCUGGUCACUAAUGUCACAACUUUCUAGAUCUUCAUCGGAGUCAUCAAUGGGUACUAUUUUGCUAGCUUCAAAUCUCAUAGAAGGAGAUACUAGUCUGGAUGUUGAUUUUGCACCAGAAUUAGACGUCACCAACCCACGUCGUUCUUCCUCUGUUUUCAUAUCACAACGAGGCAAGAACCACUCCAUGGACAACGCCUUGACGUCCAAACCUACAUCUUCAAGUUCCCAAACCAAUUUCACUUUUCUUCUCAGAGAAUGGCCUUCCGAGCUUUCCUCACGCAACGACACACAAGUACUGACCCUGUGUGCAAUGUUCACGCCGUCGAUGGCUCUGUAAUCUUGGAAGUAUGACUCCAUUGUUGAUUCCCAGUCACUAUGCUUUCCCAAAGCUGUCAACCUUAGCCGACGAGAGUCUUCUAGCUUCACCAAGAGGCCUGUUUUCUGGCUGAAGUAGCCCAAAAUGGUGUGUCGCACUGUCUCUACGUUGUUGCUGCUGCUUAGUUUUGAAGGUUCAACCAUCAGUUCAAGUAUGAAGCAGUCCUCUUUGUUUAUUGAUUUGUCCGCAAACCAAUCUGACUUGCUGAAUAAAUUUGCUGUUAUCCUCGGAUUAAGACCCUGAAGGAGAGGUCCAAGGGGAAGAGGCGGUACUCGAUACGCGUGGGAGUAAUGCCAAGGCAAAAGCGUCUUGCCAUCACUCCCCGUGCUAACUAAUUUGUGGACAGGAGACAACAUUAGGUCCAAGCACCAUAGCUCCCCCUUUUGCCAAAGCAACCCCGGCAUUCCAUGUCCGCUGCCACCGCUAAUGGACUUCGAGCUUCCAGUCCUGUUUGUCAUCGUGAUCUUCACAUUGCCUGUCGCAAAUAAGUUGUCCGAUGAUGACAAAGCCUUCUCCCCGCCCACCGCCGCUACGUACUGCUUCACAAUGUAUUUAGCCCUGGCGAGGGGUUGGUGACCAUCGUUGUUGAAACAAAGAGUAGCUGGAGUCAAGGGGGCACCAAUAACUUCAAGUAAGCUAGCUAGUGUCGUGCCAUCGCUAGCCAUUGACGUUGAUUUCUUUACUGAUCUUUUUGAUUCAAUCGAUGAUUUCAUUCUGUUCCAUAGCUUUGUUGUUGUCUUCUUGCGAGGGACCUCUCCAAUUGUGUCCGAUUUCUUUCUGUUCCUUGGCUUUGUAGUGUUCUUGUGAGGAACCUCUAAAACUGUCUCCAAAUCGGGACGAUACUUUUCCAUGAACAAUGGAAUCAAGAUGAACACGGCACUAAAAUUGCGAAAGAAUAAAAACAUUGAGAAAAGUCUAUCAUGUAUAUAUACAAGUGUAUACCGGUGGCUCAUCAGGAUUCAGGGAAUCCUAAUUUUACUAGAAAUAAUAGGCAAGUUAGCUGGCAUGAUUUUCCUAUUUCAAGGAGAAAUAAUAAGCUGAUUCUGUUUCUUUUUGGGAAAAACAUGAUUUGGGAAAUAUAAUUGGCCUAUGAUUAUGUAUGCUUCCCAAAGUUGACUUAAGGUAAUCAAGUUCUCUUUUACUGAUCCGAAGAAAACAUGCAUAUGUUGUUUUACGGGUAACCUUAUAGGCUUAUAUGACCUGCGAACCCAACUCCUCUAUGGCUCUGUUUGGUCUAAACGAGGCACAUCUUACUGAGCAUAAGGGAUCUUUCUGUAAGAAGAGCUAUGUCCUAUGUAUUGAUGUGUGACAGACUCCCAACGGGGUGAACAGCAUAACCCCAAGCAUACAGUCGAAAGAAACAUCAACCAAUCAACAUAGUUACUUCAAUUUCAAUUCAUACAAUCAAAACAAUAACUAAUCACCCUUGUAUUCUAUUAGCAAUUGCAAUGUUAUCAACCCUUUAUUCUAAAUUUCUUAGAUCAUCACCAUUCUCCAAUAGGAGAAAAACAAUGCCGUUAAAGUUGAGAAGGCAUAAUAUUCAGCAAACAAAGAGAAACCAUAUAAAUUGGGAGACCAAGAUCAUCAAAUAAGGCACAAGUGCACAACAGAAAUCUUAAACAAUAAGAACCCAAAUCAAAACCAAAUCAAGUUCUCGAUUUCAUAACUCAUAAUGUCAAAAACUCAUAACCCGAUUUCCAUAACACUACAACAACCAUUGUUUCUCACUAAUCAACACGACAAAACAUAAACCCAGUAAACAAGCAAAGAACAUAGCUUUUUUCCAUGGUUGAAGACAAAGACGAAGACCCAUCAACGCAACCUUCUUGCUUCCCUCUCGGACUCGAGCAGGGUGAGGAUGUCGCCCUCCCGGACCGGUCCCUUGACGUUCCUCAUGAUGAACCGGUUCUGGUCGUCGAGAAACUUGACUCGGACUUGGGUCACCUGUCCUCUGGAUCCGGUGCGUCCCAUCACUUUCACAACCAACGCGUGCUUCACAGUCGAUUCCAUGCUGAGAUUUGUGAAGGAGGAGGAGGCGGCUGGCUUUGGAGAUUGAACAGGACGAGGGGUUGAACAAGUAGGGUUUUUGUCUGAGAUGGAUUUUAAUAUAGACACUUGACUUGCAGUUGGGGGCCUAAUGUUUUUCUUAUUCCAAUUUCUGCCCCUGUAUUCAGUGUGUUUUUUUCCUUUGUAAAUAUGAGAGGCCUCUGUCUUUUGUUAUUUAGAUAAAUGCACGUUUAUUUUUACUGCCGUAUUUAACUGUUCAGUUAAUCGACGGCAUCUUUUACUGCCUAAAUGCGAGGAAAGGAGAAUGUAAAUAGAGAGAUGAAGUAUGAGAGCAAAGAACAUGGUAAACAAUGUCCAUUCUGUUGGUGGAACUACCACUGAGUAUGUCUCGCAUGCUUAAACGCACGUGUUUCACUAACAAGCUACACUGACGUGUUUCUAGACCGCGUACGUGGACGCGGUGUGAAACUUCUACAACGAGUGCGCUCCAAUUGCCAGCUCCAAAGCGCACGUCCCUACAUAUAAAAAGGACACUCUUGGCUCCCAUGUCUAGGUAUAUGCUAAGCUCUAGUCUCACUAGAUUCCUUUUUUUUUUUUUUUUGACUAUGGAUCCUAACUUGAGUGUCAGAGAGGUGAUGCCGGGAUCCGUCCGGACGGCCUUCUGACCACUCGUUGUCCUCUUGGAAGUCCCCAGUUGAAUUAUAGUGAGAGAGCUUCUGUAUUGAGCAACAGGCCUCAUGGCCCAAACAAAACUUCUAGAGUAACUAGACGACCAUUCCGGGUUGGCCCACUUUAUAAUGGACAUUGUUAUACGUACUUUUGUACCCAAAGUAAAGUAUAUUGAUUAGAAGUUUAGGACCGUCAAACUAAAGCUGCUUUAAUUAGUUAACGUUAUCUUAGCAAAGAUUAAAAGGCGCCGAAAAGACUAAAGGACCCCCUCGUCAACUCGAAACUUUUGACAUUUUGUAUCAUACAUGCAUGCAUUUUCCUAACGACUUGUCUUCCUCUAGUAUUACCUUUUUUUUUGUUUUCCAUUCUCUUAUUGAUCUUAUCUGAGACUUUGAGUUAAUCUUAUUUCUCAUCACAACUUUCCACAUCAUGUAUGGAUUUGUGACCAUAAUCCCUCCAUUAACGGGGAACAAUUAGAUUAAAAUAGUUAAAAACCCUAGCUAAUGGCAUAUACAUCACGGCAGUGUCCUUGUCACGACAAAAUGACCAUACAUUGUAUGUGCUAGCUUGAACGAUCGUUAAGAAUUUCGUAAUUACUCCUAACUAAACAAAGUAAUUGCUCUUUGAUAGUCAAAUAUAUAGGAAUAUAAACUAAGUAAUAACUACAUGCGAUGCAUGCUAGCUAUUGAUCGGGUCAGCUUCAAUUUAGCUAGGCUCAACGAAAAUCCUAUACUUAACUGUUUAGAACUUUAAGUACAAUGCAGAUAUCAACAUGGCAAAACAAAUUGGACCUAGCUUAUAUUCAUGAUGGUCAUAUAUAGAGCUCACCACAUAUAGUGCAUCUUAAUUUUAAUUGCUUCUUUACUUUUUUUGGGUGAAAUACUAAAGAAAAUUAUAAUGAUAAACUCUCGGUUAUAUGCAAUGCUCUCAUCAAUUAAACGAAGUAUCAUUUUCAUGUCGAAGUAAGUUUUUAUGCAUGAUUAAUUGAUUAUAACAGAUUGAUAAAAAAACUUAGUUUUAUUUUGCUUCUGUUACCGAAGAAUGUUUCUUGUGUUAAAGUGGCCUUUGUGUUCCGCAAAUAAGCUCAGUUAUAAAUAAUAAUCUGACAAUUUUUUCCUCUGCUAUAAUCUUUUCGUGUCAUGUUUCUUAUUUGUAAUCCUUUUUGCCGUCUAUAUAUAUAUGGACCAGCAAUGACAUGAUACAUAGCAGCUGCAGCAAUACCUGCACAUAAUACUGGCUUGUAUUUUAUAAAUAUCAUGCACACGCAUAUCAACAUAUAUAUAUAUAGGCUUUUUCAGAUAUAAAUCUCUUUAUUUAUUUAAAAGGUAUAGAUUUUUUUAAUUGACAUAUUUUUUUAUCAUAUUUUCUCAUCUCAAUCAUUCAUCUUUUAGGUAUAUAUGAGUAGAUCUCUACAAAAUUUCAGCCAAAUUGAUAAUCAUUAAGGUAUUCAAAACUGUGAAUUACACGAACAAUUCUUAUUGAACAGAUUUGGUUCGUUCAUUGUAAUUAUAUAGUUUCGAUACGUACCUUAACGAUCACUAAUUUAGCUGAAAUUUUGCAAAGAUAAUCAUGUCAUAUAUAUCUAGAUACUAAUUGGCUAUGAUUGAAAAAUAUGACUGAAAAAUGGUUCUAUUGGUAAAAUCUGUACUUUUUGAAUAAAUAAGGAUGUUUGGACCUGAUAAAGACUGAAUGUGUGUGUGUAUUUUACCGUAAAAACAAAACGUACUUAUGAAUUUGAAGGUGGUUCUAUCUGCACCCACCUGUAGACCUGAAAAUCACACAAAUGGAGAAGCGAUCGAGGAUCCCGAAAGGAGGCCUUACAUGCACAAAUCUUAGUCUGCAUGUAUAUGAAUGUGUCAAUAUUUUCCCAGAUUUUGUGUUUCUCACGUAUAGACAGAUAGAUAUUUUCUUGUGAUUUAGAAUCCGUGAGUGAAAAGGAAAUAACAUUAGAGAACAAUACAACAAAACAAAGCUGAAAUGAGCUCUCCGGAAAACAGAGAACGAAAAGAAUCCAACGUAUUGCUAAACGUACACGUGUACGUUGUGAGAAUGAUCGAUCGGUCUUUCAGAUUCAUGAAACCCUUUCACGUUUCUUUUCGAUAAUGAUCGAUCGGUACGUCUUUCAUAUGUAUGUGGCAUCACUUAGUUUCAACUCCACCGAUAUAUCGAUCUUUUCACAUCACUUCUAGUUUCUUUUUCUUCUACAUCGAUCAAAGGCUUAGGAACCAAGCCUAGGAGCGAGCUCUUGGUUUGGAAUUUUGUACUUCUACCCCUUCGUAUAUUCUCGUAUUAAUUCAUUCCAUCAGCGACCUAAAAUCUGUCUCUGUCGAAUGGAUACAAGGCCUAACUAGCCAUCGAGUCAUUUCCUAAAAGAUACAGACAAGUCUGGUUGAGCCGUUUAGGUCUAUUUUUAGGGUACUACUAUCCAUCGUAUCAUCUUCAUAUUGAUGAAAAUAUUAUUUACAUAUAAUUUAUACAUCGAUCAGACUGAGAAGAUAGGAUAAGAUAUAGGUGAGCCAAUGAUCGAACAAUAAUGCACAACCCUAGCCUCGAACUGCGAAACUCCAUCUCCAUGUUCAAAAUCUCUAUGGAUUCUCUUAUAUGCAUGUAUAGUAUAUAUAUAUAUAUAUAUAUAUAUAUAUAUAUAUAUAUAUAUAUAUAUAUACGUACAUAUAUGCUACAAAUCAUAUAUAUGAACAACUGAGUGCUUCAUCAGGAGGCUAUGAGUUUUUCAAUUAUAUGUACAAUUAUUUUAAUCCAUUGGAAAUUGCAGAUGCAUGCAGCUACAAAUGAUUUAUGAAACUAUUUAUGGUAUUGUAGCUUUUGCAGAAUCAGUUGGGGAUGAAUAAAUGAAAUGUAGUAAUGAGCUCAUUGAGUUGUUGCCGUUCGUGUUCAGUUCGAUUUGUCAGUUUUCCGGUCCACCCCCACGUAUCUUACUAGCUCAGUGUCUCCCGAGACCAGAGAGCUAGCUCAAUAUAGAAAUUCCUAGAAGUAAUUCGACGAUUAGUACCCUGAAUUAGCAGUGUUAGAUUGAUCACAUAUGACAGUAACUGAUUAACACUAGCAGCUUAAUCGUACUUCGUCUCGAAGUUUUUAUGUACGUGUUCGUCAUCACCCACGGUAAGAGUAAACAGAUCGAUCUGCAAAAAUUGCAUCACCCAUGUGAAUGAUUCUCUACCUCUCUGCCUCUCUGCUAGGUUUUGUUGCGCAGUUUAGCCAAGUGCCAAAAUGAUGACACAGUACGUGAUGAGAAACCUGCAGCUUAAUUAUAACUAUUUGAGAUCUUUGUAGCUACCGAUAUUCAUCUAUAAAAUUCAUAUAUCCGAAUGAAUUGCAGGUCAAAGAAAAGUUGCUAUUUAAGUAUAGUUGUUCACAACAUGAACAUUGAACUAUAUUUUGCAGGUCAAGAAAUUCAGCAGACACAUAACAUGGUUUUGUUUACAAGUAUAUGUGUCGGUUUGAAUUAAUGCGGAAAAUGGUUUCAAAGAUUAAUGUAUCACUUGUAUUAUUCAGAAAAUAUAGAAACAAAUAUUCAACGAUAUUAUACUUUAGGAUUUGACAUCAUUUACGUAGCUUCUGGAAGUGAAUCAAUCAAAGAAUAUUCUUUAGGGUUUAUGAAAGUUUGUAUAUGAUAUUGCGUGUGACUUAAUCUUCCGCGUUCAAACCAUGUAGAUGGAAUAACUAGCAUGCUGCAUGAGAAAGGAGAGUGAUGCUAGCUACUUUGCUAAGUAGUUUCCACUUUAAUUAGUUGAUGCAAAAGUUUAGAAUUAGUCGGAGAUCGAUGAACUAUUAGUUACUUUCAACUCUAUAGACGGCUACGUAGAAUAAUUUUGAAAUCAACAACCACUAAUUAUGAAGUUUCGUAAUAACUGUAGCCGGAUUAUUGAGCUAGCUAGUCCUCUUCGAUCUUUACCUUUCUUGACUACGCACAUACCAAGGGGGCCCCGGGACCAUGUGAAACUAAGUUGCAAUUUUCCCUAGUUGAAGGCUGAUUUGAGAGACCAGAACCAGUAGUAGAAGGAAAAAUCAAACUCUACAAGGAAAUUAAGAACGUACCCAGUUGCCAAUUGUAGUGAAUGCUACAAUUACUCAAUUAGUCGAAGACUGAAUCAGUUGCAGACGAUCGAGCUAGUUCUAGUGGGCAUGCAACUGGGCAUGGCUGUAGCUUUAGCUACCGUAGUGUGCGAAAAGUCGAAAACUGCGAAACCAGAUAUGGGUGUGGAAUUAAUUAACCCUAGCUAGUUCAGUCCUUCGAAUCUAAAUAUAAGUUUCAAAAAAUACACACACAGAAUCACAGAGUGGUUUCUCAUCAGAAGCAGUCUGUUGGUUUGGUUUGGUUCCACAGUGAGUGACAUACAGAUCAUAUUUUAUAUAGAAAAAAAUUCAGUAAACUAUCCUGAAUUUUAGGUCUAAAAUCAGUUUGAUACCUCAUCUGUUUUUUAAUCAGUUUCAUACCUAAACUUUCAAAAUAACAUCAAUCUCGACCAAAAUGACUAAAAUAGCCCUGGUUAAUUUUUUUACNNNNNNNNNNNNNNNNNNNNNNNNNNNNNNNNNNNNNNNNNNNNNNNNNNNNNNNNNNNNNNNNNNNNNNNNNNNNNNNNNNNNNNNNNNNNNNNNNNNNNNNNNNNNNNNNNNNNNNNNNNNNNNNNNNNNNNNNNNNNNNNNNNNNNNNNNNNNNNNNNNNNNNNNNNNNNNNNNNNNNNNNNNNNNNNNNNNNNNNNNNNNNNNNNNNNNNNNNNNNNNNNNNNNNNNNNNNNNNNNNNNNNNNNNNNNNNNNNNNNNNNNNNNNNNNNNNNNNNNNNNNNNNNNNNNNNNNNNNNNNNNNNNNNNNNNNNNNNNNNNNNNNNNNNNNNNNNNNNNNNNNNNNNNNNNNNNNNNNNNNNNNNNNNNNNNNNNNNNNNNNNNNNNNNNNNNNNNNNNNNNNNNNNNNNNNNNNNNNNNNNNNNNNNNNNNNNNNNNNNNNNNNNNNNNNNNNNNNNNNNNNNNUUAUAUAUAUAUAUAUAUAUAUAUAUGUAUGUAUCUAAUGUAUGUAUGUAAAUCUUGCAGAUGUGACUGUAAAACGGCUUGCAUUGCACUUGGCGGUUUAAGGUCCCCACAGCUCAAAGGGAAGUGUCAGUUAGUUUGGGGUGACGUUGCCUGUUCAAGCGAGGCUAGCUAGCUCCCAGUUUCUACACGCACUGUUUCUCGUCCAAGCUUCUCCUAUAUAUCACCCCCUCACCCCCUCCAUUUUCCUCACACCCUCAGCUCCCUCCUUCCUCCAUUUUGCUCUAUUUUGGAAGAGGUCUCUCUUCUGCUGUAUCACUCCCAAAAGGUACUGUGUGUGUCUAAGCCCGCCCUUAAUUUGUUUCACUGGUUCAAGCUUAGAAUUCAUCAGAUACAGUAUCAAUGUUUUUCAUCAAACUCAAAACGUUGUAUUUGUGUACUGUUAUGCAGGACAAAAUGUCGAAAGCAGUGAUUUUUCUCUUGGGGCUUCUUACUCUGACCCCAUUGUUUGCUCAUGCUUAUGAUGAUGGAGGUUGGGUUAACGCCCAUGCCACUUUCUAUGGUGGGGGUGAUGCCUCUGGCACUAUGGGUAAGUUCUUUUUUACCACGUAUUUUUGUUAAGUUCUUUUUUACCUUUUACCAUGGAUACUGAUGCCCGAUAUCUCAAUCUUCUUUUGAAGAUCUGCAUGUUAAAUUAACAGCAUGUCCAACUAAUAUUUGCAGGUGGAGCUUGUGGGUAUGGAAACCUAUACAGUCAAGGGUACGGCACAAACACAGCAGCACUAAGCACAGCCUUGUUCAACAAUGGCUUGAGCUGCGGGGCUUGCUUUGAGAUCAAGUGUGUCAAUGACCCCAAAUGGUGCCUUCCAGGCUCUAUUUUGGUCACUGCCACCAAUUUCUGCCCUCCAAACAAUGCACUCCCUAACAACAACGGCGGUUGGUGCAACCCUCCUCAGCACCAUUUCGAUCUCGCCCAGCCCGUCUUCCAGCAUAUUGCUCAAUACAGAGCUGGAAUCGUCCCUGUCUCCUACCGAAGGUGCGCAUUUCGGACUCGUUUUAAAGAUCAGGGCUAUGAAUUCAUCUAUGAAUUUGUUAAAGCUUUUUGAAAUAAUCUACUUCAUAUUUUUAUUGUUUACAAAACUUUUUUCCUUUUCUGCUUGAAUUGAACUAUACUAUUCCUCUCAAAAAAGAAAAAGAAAAAAAGAACUAUACUAUUGAAAGUCCAAAAACUUAGCUAGCUGCCAAAGCAGAUGUAGAACGUCGACAGCUAGCUUUUCAGGUCUUGAAAGUUCCAAUUUCGAUCCAACAAACCCUGACGUGUUUUUGUGAUGAAUCAUUUUGUAUUUUUUGUGUUAUAAACUUCAUCUUUAUGCAUAUGCUUAUAUGUGUGUAGAGUACCUUGCCAAAAGAAGGGUGGAAUAAGGUUCACUAUCAACGGUCACUCAUACUUCAACCUGGUCCUAAUCACAAACGUUGGUGGUGCUGGUGAUGUUCAGUCUGUUUCCAUCAAAGGGUCAAGAACUAAUUGGCAACCCAUGUCUAGGAACUGGGGUCAGAACUGGCAGAGCAACUCUUACCUCGACGGCCAAAGCCUCUCAUUCAAGGUCACAACCAGUGAUGGCCGCACUGUGGUCUCUAACAAUGCUGUUGCGGCCGGAUGGUCUUUCGGACAAACUUUCUCCGGCCUCCAAUUCCCAUAAACCAAACAAAUCAAAGACGAAUAAGAAGAAGAAGAAUAAGAAGCUACAAGUUUUGUUUAGGUUAAUUUAGAGUUGAUUUGUGAGAAGGGCUUAUAUUAAAUGGUCCUUGUCGUCGUUUUGAUAUGCUCUCAUUUGUAAAGGAGCAGACAGAAAUUAAGUUAAAAUUUGGCAGCGGUGGGCAUUAGAGUAUCACCCGCCACAUUUUGUUAGGUUUUGUUAGUUAUUUAGCUAGUGUGCUCUGGUUGCUUUAGGCUUUGUUUAACUUGUCUAUGAAGCUAUUGUAAUUAGCUUUAGUUUCCUGCUGCAUUGUGUGUUUUUCUUAGUCGGAAUUGUUUAAGUGUACGACUUUUUGUUUUAAAUAAAGUCUCCUCUCCCUCUCCAUGAAGUUGAGAACAGGAUCAGUGAUCUUUCUAUCGGUUUAUUGCCGAGCAUAUUUUGUUUGUUUAUGGUAAUUUGUUUCUAAUAUUCUAUAUGAGCUAGAUUGGCCAGAUUGGGCCAUUCCUAGACCUCCAAGGUUUCAAAGGUAGGUGUCUACAUUACCAAAUACCAAGUGGGGAUUUGGGGGAAGAGAAGUCAUAUUGGGCUUGGGUAUCCAAAAGUAGCUAACCAAUUUCAAGUAAGAAGUCCAACGACAUGCCCUAAAGGGUCUCAAAGUAUCAGUGUCAUGAUAUUUUAGAUUUUGUGCACCAAAUAAUACUCGAAAUUAAUCAACCUUAAGGUGUAAAAAACUAAAAAUGACAUUAACAUCAAUAGCAACAGGAGGGAGCGAUCUCUAAAUUACUCUAUUUUGGUUAUGUUAUAAAGAUAAACACUUAAAUUUCUAAAUUUAUGUACUAAAUAUUUUUUCUGUAACCACCAUAAGUAGCCGUGUUAGUAAGAGUUUAGACAUGGAAGCUCCGCACUCAAAUUUGAAUAGUUUCUGGACCUAGAUUCUAGAAAGCUUUGUAUGGAAACAAAUUAUAAAAAUAGGUUCUUAUACAAAUUACUCGACACAUAUGUGUGAUCUUGAAGCAAUUACUUGCUAAUGCCUAGUCUAAGCCAGCCAUUUGUCAUCAACCGAUUGGACUACAUAGAUUCCACGUGGAAGGAGAUUCUAAUCCUCAUAUCCAAAUCAAAUCUUAACACGUAGAAAAAGUGGACCCCGCAACAUCUUUUUCUACCAACAGCAACAAAGUAAUAGAUUUGUGGAUACAACCCUAAGAUAAAAUGAUAAGGCACAAGGGCUUCCAUUGGCCAAUCCAUACCCCACAACCACAUCCUCACCGUCGGAGACAAAAAAUCAGGCCAUCCAACGAUCAGAUUCUAGCAAAGAACCACCACCACAACACUGAGCACUGUCAUUGACUCAUUGACAUGAUAUAAUACAAAGCCAUGAACACAAACACCAUAUUGUACAUUUUGCUUUAGCCAAACCACCUUCCCUCUACCUGAAAAUUCCAUUUUCUUGACCCAAAUUCAGGUAGAAUAGUAUGGCAACCGUCACGACUCAGGCGUCCGCGGUCUACCGGCCACAAAUCACCUCGAAAUCGAGGUUCCUUACCGGCUCUUCCGGCAAGUUAACUAGGGAAGUUGCUUUUAGGCCUGUGACAUCUCCUUCUGCUAGUUCUUUUAAAGUUGAGGCCAAGAAGGGCGAGUGGUUACCUGGCUUGCCAUCACCAGGUUACCUAACUGGCAGGUACUUAAUCAAGCUCAAACAAAUCACAAGACUUACUAUAUGUGUUUAUAAUAUGUGACAUCAGUUCUUACAUUUCUUGGUUUGUCUUUGUGCCUCAGUCUUCCUGGUGACAAUGGGUUUGAUCCUUUGGCACUUGCUGAGGACCCAGAGAACCUGAAAUGGUUUGUCCAAGCUGAGCUUGUGAACGGUCGUUGGGCUAUGUUGGGUGUAGCUGGGAUGCUAUUGCCUGAAGUCUUGACAAGCAUUGGGAUCAUUAACGUUCCAAAAUGGUACGAUGCUGGGAAAGCUGAGUACUUUGCUUCUUCAUCCACCCUGUUUGUGAUCGAGUUCAUCUUGUUCCACUAUGUCGAGAUCAGACGGUGGCAAGACAUCAAGAACCCAGGAAGUGUGAACCAAGACCCCAUCUUUAAGCAAUACAGCUUGCCUCCAAAUGAGGUAGGUUACCCUGGUGGCAUCUUCAACCCUCUCAACUUUGCACCUACUGAGGAGGCCAAGGAGAAGGAAAUCGCCAACGGUAAGUCUUAGAAAACAAGCUUCACGCUCGAUUUUGAUCUGAGGGCUUUGUGUGUGUGAACUAAUUAGGUUUGAACUUUUUGUAUAUGCAGGGAGACUGGCAAUGUUGGCAUUCCUGGGAUUUGUGGUUCAACACAACGUGACUGGCAAAGGACCCUUUGACAACCUAGUGCAGCAUCUUUCUGACCCAUGGCACAACACCAUUGUCCAAACACUAAGGGGCUAGAUCCAUCAAAAGCAAGCAAGAAAUGGAGAAAACCUGUUUUCAUUUGUUUUGUAACAACGAUUUAAUAUGGCUUUUGAGUGAUGAAAUGGGAGUGAGCAUCAAUGUAGACAAGGUUUUACCAGUGUACAGGAACCAUCAUGGCAAUAUGGCAUUAUAUUAUUAUUACCAUUCUCAUUACAAUUCACUAAUUCAUUCUCAAGAUUCUUUUUCCCCCCCCCCAAGUAGCUCAAGACAUGUUGAUGUUGCUUUCAAUUUCUAUAAGUAAUAAUUUACAAUUUGGGAUGCUCCUAAGGUACCAAAGGAGUUCAUAUACAGAUAAACUAUGAUCCUAUAUAUCUUGUACAAUAUAUAUACAUGUUAAACUAAGCCCCAAGGAGUCAAUGAGCCAUUGAGCAUCAACGCUCUUGGAUACCUCUCAAGAUUUCCUUCAUCUGUUUGGUUUGUGAGGCCUGUAAAAUUCUGCAAUGAUUUCCCCCCAGCUACAAUCUCAUGUUUGGUUGCUACAAGAGAACAAAAGUCAUAGAAUGACAAGGUAUCAAUGAAAUGACAAAAUACAAAGAGAACGCAUGAGAUCCACACAUUUGAAAUAUCUCAUUUAGUAUGGGAAAACAGAGCGGAAAAAAAUAAAAAAUAAAUCAAAGGAAUACUUCACCUGCUGGUAAGUAUUCUCAUCGUAUACAGCAAUGCUGCUAGGCCCGGAAGAUGAAAGCCAAGAAGGAUGCUCGUCACCAUACAAAGAUUGAGGCAAUUCGAAGUUGGUACUUGCUUGAUAAUCCACUGAAUUUGUUGGUAAGUUCAUUUCUAAACCAGACUUCAAUUUUUUAUCGUCUGGCACAUUAGGAUUGCAAUAUGAUGGAUACGCAUACUGCUCGCCAAGUUCUGUACUCAAACAAGCAUUUAUGUCAUACUCAUUCAAGCCACAACCUCCUUCCAUACUAGGAAUUUGCCCCAUAUUAUCAAGUUGCCCUGGAUCACCAACCUCAGAUUGUUUGCCAGUGCUAGUACUAGUGCUGGCGCCGCCGCCAAAGUAACUAUUAAAUCGUGCUACAGAGGCAUUAGUAGAGCAGUCCACAUCUCUGUAAAAAGAUGUUAAAGUAAUAAGCACAGUUAGAUCCAUUGAAAGGGAAAAGAAAACCAUCUGCGUACCAAUUGGAGUAAAUUACAAUAUAAUUAGCACUGAACAUUUUCAGGCGUUGGUUCAGCAAGGAAGCAGUAGACUAACCUAUGAGGCAGAAAGGUUGCCUCGUUGGGUAAUAACAAAUGUUGAUUGUCAUUAUUCAAAAUCCAAGGUAUAGGUUGAGUUUCUUGCAUACUACCCACAAUUAAAGAUGAAGGUAUCCCGUUUUGAAACUGCGAUGCAACAAAGUCAUUUUCAGAUUUCCUCAAUGUGUGAAAGAGGCAUUCUGCAUCAGCUAAAGCAUUUGUUACCUGGCUUGUGCAAUUCAGUGAAGCUAGUUGAUGUUUUUCAAAGUUUUCCUGACAAAAGAUGUAUCCAGCAUGUUAGAAUGAUAAGGAUCUAUUAUGGGCGUCUCAGAAAUUAGCAGUGGCCACCCUCUGGCUCAACAUUUUUAGGUGGUUUGGGUGCAUCACCAAAGCUUAAACUCACCAUGACAACAACCAAUCUAAGAAAAAUAUGCUCUCUGAUAAACUAAACUAGUUAAUGUCUUCCACAGUACAGACGUUAGUAAAUAGUGGGCAAUUCUUGUAACAGAAAAAGAGAAUGAUACCUUGUGCAGACGUGUUCGCCUUAUUGAUUCGUUAAGCAUGUCUUCCAUCUGCCUUAGCUGUUCUACAUUGUCAACCUUCUCUGGAUUACUCCAAAAGCUGAAGAGGUGGAAAAACUAGCAUAUGAAUUAUAUGACACCAAUCUCCAAUUUUAACGCAUAUAUCUCACUGCCCAAUAGGGGUUUUUUGUUUUGUUUUACACUGCCCAAUAGGGUAUAGUUACUCCUCCAUACAGUUGAUCAGAGUCUGUCUAGAGUCCACAAAAUCAGCUCACCUCCAAUCCAACUAACUUGUCUAAGGCUUUUAAACAACAACUUCAAAACAAAUGAUGCCAUAUCUAUAAUAUGAGUCAUGAACACAUGACCUAAAUUGGAACUGAAAUGUAAUUUUGCAGACAAUUUCUUUUUCCUCUUCCUUUGGUCAAGUAUUGAUUCGAUACCACAAAUGACACAUUCUAAAACACAUUUUAUAAGAUGCAUUCUUAAUAUGACCUUCAAGACCAAAAGAAAAGGCAAUACUUGAACAACCAAAAGCUCCAAAGGUGCACCUCAGUCUCUUAUGCAGUUCCGUGAGUUGGCUUUGCAUUUCUCUUGCAUGAUUUGUCAGAUCCUGCCAAUGAAAAUUAUACCAGAAUACAUGAGUUUUCAUGAACAACAACUGGAAAAAAUGAAAUAUGUUAAUGCUGAUAAACGAUAUAUACCUCAACUGUCUGUGUGCUGCAAGAAACAACAGAAGGGAAACAGUUAAGAAAAAAACCGAGAGUAAAAGGAAACGGCAGAUUUGAAAAUAUAUUGACAUACCUGGAACCCACAAACUCUUGUACAUUUACAUCGUGGUCUAACUUCUUAAAAGUUUUCUUCAGUACCUAUAUCCUCAAAGAGAACACCAAAAUGCAAGUAUAAUCGGAUUAAAAGACAGCAUAGUUUCUCUUUGUUUAAUGUAACCAAAGCCAGAGAGACAUUUGUCCACUAUAUAGGACAGUCUUACCUCAAGGCUCUCCAAUUUCCUGUUCCAGUGAAAUGGAAAAGAAGUUAGCUGUAAUGCCAUCCAAAUUCAAUCAAGCUAAGGAGAUUCCAAAUUCAAUGCAAGUAUUUCAGUACCUUUUCGCCCUCUCCUGUGGAGUUAAGUGGGCAAACUUUGCAAUAAUGUCUUCAAAAUUGCUGAGAAAGUCAAGAAAUAACCAACAACGAAAAAACGCUACAUUAGCAUACAAUAUGGAAAAAGCAAUAAUCAGACUCCAAUUCCGGCCUCAAUUUAGUCUAGUUACGUUGAAUUUGCAUCGAAAAAAAGACAAAAAAGCUCAAUCUAUGGCCUCAACAUUUUGCUUUCAACAAUACCUAUAGUACCAAUGCAUUAUAAAUCACCAGAACAAUGUAUCAAUUGAUUGUAUACUUGGUAGCAUACUAUACCUGCGCUCCCCUUGGAACAAUGUAGGCCUUCCAGUCGGGGAAAACAUAAGAAGUGUAAUGUCCACAUCACACAAGAUUGACAAUUCCUUGGCCUUCUUCAAGAUGCCAUUCCUCCUUUUUGAAUAAGUAACCUGCCGAUUGCCACUGCUCUCCAAUUUCUUUAUCUUUAACUUAACCCUUCCCAUCCUACAAAUCCAUUAACCAAAACCCUUAUGAAACACCAAAGAUUGAAACCCCUCAAUGCCUAGAAAAUGCAGAUAAACUCACUUUAGCUAUGUCACAAAUACACAGUUCUCCAAAUGAAGCUUUCAUCCCAAUUGCACCAGCACUCGACAACCAUAAAUGAACCCUCUUUCGAAUUUCUGUCCUAACCCAAAAAGGUAAAACAAUCCCAGAAAGAUGAUCACAGAUUUCUAAAAGACCCAGAUGGGAAAAACACAAAAGGAAGAAGCUUUACAAACACUCACAAAGGAAAGAUUGAAUCUUGAAAAAAAUGGUAAAAAGAAAACUCAAUGGCAAACCCAGAAAGAGUAAUAGUCAAACAAGAUUGAAGGGAAAGAAUCAAAGAAAUGGGUAUGGAGCUUUUAGCUUACAAAUUUGAGCACGACAGGUCCAGCUAUGAUUUCGGUCGUGAAAAUGAGCAAAACCAACCAGCAGAAAUUUACUGCAGAGAGAGAAACAGAGUGAAGGAGGGAGAGAAAGAAAAUGAACGGUGCGAUUUGGCAAAGAAGGUUAGACAUGCAUGGCUUUUAGCACCGAAGACAAAAUCUUGGGCUACGGUUUUGAAGAGCUUCUCCGCCAAGAAAGCCUACAUGGCCUUCUUUGCGGUAACAUUACCGGGUCCAGUGGCAUUUUCUUUUCUUUUUUUAAAUUUAAAUAGGAGAUAAAAAAUCGAAUUUGUGACCUCUACCGACAUAUAUGAUCUAAUUUUAAUAGAAAAUUUCAUAAAAGUUCUCUUUUUAAUAUUUUUUCUUACAUAAGUUCACCUUAACAAUUUUAUCCAUAUAAGUCUACUUUUAGGACCAAACCCAUCACCUAUUUUUUUCGUUCUACCUAAAGUACCCUCAGCUAUAUCUCAACCGCAUCCAAUUCGUCUCUCUUUCAUCGNNNNNNNNNNNNNNNNNNNNNNNNNNNNNNNNNNCUCUCUCUCUCUCUCUCUCUCUCUCUCUCUCUCUCUCUCUCUCUCUCUCUCUCUCUCUCUCUCUCUCUCUCUCUCUCUCUCUCUCUCUCUCUCUCUGUGCAAAUGGGAGCUUCAAAACCAGCGAUGAGAUGAUCCUCAUCUGAAAACCAGAUAUCUCCGGCGUCGAUCUGCUUCUCCGACGACGAUGACGACGCCUCGACCUCGACCUCGACGCUGCCGGCCAACGAUGACACCUCGACCUUGACGCUGCCAACUCGACGUUGACGCCUCGACUGCGUCUAAUUCCAUCAACGACGACUUCUAAUUCUGCCUCAACCUCGGCGUCUUCUGAUUUGACCUUGACGUGUUCUGAUUCGACCUCGACGCCGCCGGCCCGACGACGACGACUCCGGAUCGACGAUGACGCCUUUUGAUUUGAUCCGCUCAACCAUCUAGCGCCUUCACCUCUGAUGAAAUUGACUAGACCUACCUCUAGAUCCGAUCCAGAUAAACCCGUCAUUGCUGGCAUCAACGGUGUUGGGAAAUGAAGGCUCUACCGAGAAUGGAACCAUCCUCUUGACAUGCUCAACGCUUAACAAGCUCACAAUUGACUGGUUAUGGUUAUGAUAGUAUAUUUCCAACACAGUAGUAGUAUAUUUUUGUUGUGAUAGUGUAUUUUUGANNNNNNNNNNNNNNNNNNNNCUGGUGACAGUUAGUUUUUUUUGUUAUCGGUAAUAUCUUUUAUUGUCAGUGGUAGUAGUUUUCUUUGCUGGCGGUAGUAGCUUUCUUUGCUAUCGGUAGUAGCUUUCUUUGCUGGUAACAGUAGUUUUUUUUGCUAUCGGUAGUAUAUUUUGUUGUCAGUGAUAGUAGCUUUCUUUGUCGGCGGUAGUAUCUUUUGAUAUCAGUGGUAGUAGCUUUUGUGGUCGUUAGAAUUGUCAUAGAUGGUCGACCGGAAAGUUCGCCGGAGGUCGGCAGGAAAGUUUGUCGGAGGUCUACCGGAGACCUCGCCGGAGGUCAGCCGGAGACUAUUUGUGGUUGUUGACUUUUUACAUUAGUGGCAUUUUUGUAAAUAUAAGAGAAAAUCUAAUUUUUUUUGUUGGAUGACAGUCUGUAAUUUUGUUGAACUUUAAUAUCUAAUAUAAUACUCUAUUUAGACUUGGGGUGGACUUAUGUGGGUAAAAAUGUUUAGGUGGACCUAUAUAGGAGAAAAUGUCUUUAACUGGACUUCUAUGUAAUUGGCCCUAAUUUUAACCGACAAAUGAUUGUAAUCUCUAUUGCCACAUAUGAUUUGGUAUGAUUGUGAUAGAGAUAUAUGAUCUAAUUUUAACCGACAAAUGAUCGUGAUCUCUAUCGCCACAUAUGACUUGGUAUGAUUGUGAUCUAUAUCGACACAUAUGAUUUGGUUUUGCCACAUGAUUUCGUAUGAUUGAGAUCUCUAUCGACACAUAUGAUUUGGUUUUGCGAUGUUGUUAGGUGUUGUUUGUUUCUCAUUGGAAAAUGUAGAAUUGAACACUUCAAGAACAAAUGCUGAAAUGGAAUUUGGAUUUUACUGAUAUCCAAAAUAUACAACAAUUGUUUGGAUUGAGGGAAUAGGAUUACACUUGGUGACAAGUUGAAGGGUGGCAUCACUUGGAUAGCUCCCUAAAGAGUUUAUGAAUAAAGAAUUUAGAAUUUCAUAUUACAUUACAAGGACGACUGAGAGAGAGAGCUCGCGGAUUGAGAGGCUACAGCUGCUUCUUCCAACUCCUGCCUUGUCAAUAGUCUUGUUGAGGGCACAAACUUUGAGUUGGUUUCAAAUGGGUCUGUAUGUUCAGAUUCUACUGAGAAUUCAGCACUGAUUGCCUCGACAGUUUUCUGGAUGAAAACUGAUCUUGGCACGUAGUCCUUCAUGCGGCAUACAAAUUCCAAAUGAUCCCUAGCCUGCAAAGGAAUAAGAUGGAUUUAGAUAUCAAAGUACUAGUCAUGAGUCUUUAACUAGUAGUCAUCUGAUAGAUUAAAUAAGCUGUUAAACACAGGUUGCACCCAAUUCAAAUUUGAAUUGUGACUGAGGAAUACAGAAAAUCAUCAUUUCAUGAGGCUAACACAGUGGUGGUUUAAAAAAUCAUUACAUCAACGAACUACCUUUUUAUGAAGAAAAUGAGAGCAACAUUAACCCCUUCUGAGUUCAUUUGAGGACAAUCAUCAAUUAUUUUGGUUUCAUUCAAAUUUUAAUUCUUGCCAAAUUUGUUCAUUAACACAAGUUUCUCUUGUAUGUUAGCAAUUCGUAACCCUAUUCAUAAUGUAUGUUCAAUGUUUUAAAUUAACUGUUAGUCUGUUACUUCUAUUGAGGAAGUGUCCCAAAGUUUGAUCCUAAAAACUUGAAAGACUAAAGAAAUCAACAAAGAUCACAAAGCACUAAAAACUAAUAAGAUGACACAAGCAAAUAGCCUACUAAUCGAUAUUUAGGAACCCGUUUUGGAUGCUUCAGGUAUGCCAUGUUUCUCUCCUCAUAGUCCCAUAGGAAGGAUGUGUGGUGGAUCCACCGAUCUUUCGUAAUACAUUGAGCAUUCCCACCAAACUUGCGAUUACCAAAUACAUAAUCUGGAAUCAGAUAAAACCAAGUAUGCUGUUAGUACAUGCUUCAAUUCCUCAAGAAUAUUAGUGAAGUAAGAGUAUCCCGUGGUGCCAGUAACAUAAACUCCAUAUGAACUAUGAAGUAAUAGCCCCAAGCAUAAAAUUAAACUUGAUGCUACAUAAAAAGAUAUAAUGAUGAACUUUAAGUGAAACAAGCAAGAUCUAAAGAUGGAUGAACAAAGAAAAAGAAGCGGUUGAACACGUCGAAUUGCCAAAUAUACAAUCCUACAUACCUAAGCACCUUAUUAGGAAUAAUGCAAAAGAGUUCAUUAAGUACCAUUUUCAAGAAGGUAAAAAUCACCAAAUCUUUUGAACACUCUGUUGUACAAUUGGCUACUCCAAGACAUUAUAGGUCGCGGAUAUAGUUUCAAGCCAGGAACAGCAUCCCUGUUGCAUAUGAAAGUGACAAAUAUGGUGCCAUGAUCAACUGCAACUGUGCCUCCACCAGUAUACCUUUUAAUGACAGGAACCUGAUCUCGUAACACCAGAUCAAUGUCUAGAAGCUCUGCAUGUUUUCUACGCAGAACAUGGAACUCUUCAUAAAUCCCAGUACCAAAAAAAUACACAAAUUAAUGCAAACAUGCUCAAACAAGAAUGAAUAUGAAGCUCAUCUUACCCUGAAAUACCCAUGACAAUAUUACGAUCAUUUGUGCCAUCAUUUAUAAUGCACCAAUUAUCAGACGAGGUUCGCAGCAGCCGCUCCUCUAAAUGAAGCUGCUGCAGAAUGGGAGUUCCUUUUAAUCUGACAAGGUUCAUCAAUGGAAGCCCAACAUUUCUUUGAGGUAUAGCCAUCCAAAUUCACCAACUACAACAAAAGACACAAAAAAACCCAUCAUAACACAGAACUCUACUAAUGCACUCCAUUAAGGGUCUAAUUACAUCACCAAUGCAGCUAAUUGUACUUGCAUCAUCAUCAUUUAUCAAUUCAUUGUUUUCCUUUUCCACAAGAAACCAAUCUUUGAAAGAAUAAUGUAAGAGAAACAAAGACCCAGUAAAGAUGUGAACUUUAAUUUUGGGUUUGGAAAGAGAAGUAAUAUUCACCUGUUUUUGGUCGUCGUUCACUGAAACUCUGAUGGGUCGAGGAAGAUAAAGCCGGGGAUUGUAAAGUCACGACGUCGGGAAGCUUUGGUUUGUGGUGGAGAAUCUAUUAACUUUAAAGGACGACAUUUGGGCCAGCGAGCACAGCAGCCUCUCCUGAUACCAUCACAGCACAGAAUUGAAAAGGCCCGUAGGAGAUGAGGUUCAAGAGCAACUCAUUUUUGUAUUUUAGGGGAUCAAAAUGUUAAUAUUUGUCUUAAGGGUUGUACUUGUAUUUCUAUGAUGUUUUAAUGCUAUGGAUUUCAAAAGUUGCCGAAGCAAUUUAUAAAGCGCAGGCUGAAACAGGUGAAAUCAAAGGGCAUUAUUUGAAUGCUACUGUUUAGAAGUGAUGAAAUGAUGAAAUUUAGAUAUCUAUCGAUUGAAAUUCUGUUAAUUGAAAUUUUUAUUGUUUGGUUAUGUAUUUGAGAUUUGAAGUGUGUGAUAGCUUAAGAAAAUUAAAAAGAAAUAUAAAAAAUAAAAUUUUAAAAAGCCUUGUUCUGGAAAUGAAAAUUGAAUCCUGCAAUAAAAAUUUAUAAAUGACACCUAUUUUUGGUGGAAUUCAAGUGAGGAAUUUAAUCAAUGAAUUCCUUUUUUUUCAAUUCCAUAGUAGUGCGUUUGGAUGCGGGUGAAUUCCUAGGAAUUUAAUUAAAAAUAAAGAAUUUUUAAUUUCUUAGAACUGUUUCCCCCUUUUAGAUUCUUAUCAUGUGGAAUUAGAAAUUUUCACGGGAAAAUAAUCGUGGAAUUUGAGCGUUUAAAUUCCCGACUUAAAUUCCUUACAAAAUAGGUGUCAUUUAUCAAUUUAACUAAGGUUAGUCUAAGUACAAAUUUUUGUCAUUUUAAAACUCUACAUCAUAAAAUCCAAACAAUGGAAUUCUCGAUUAAUAGAAUUAAAUUUAUGNNNNNNNNNNNNNNNNNNNNUNUCUNUCUCUCUCUCUCUCUCUCUCUCUCUCUCUCUCUCUCUCUCUCUCUAGACAUGUCUUCUCUAUAAAAGUUAGCUUUUUAAAAUCUAUGUGAAUCUAGAAGACUUUGUAAAUCUGUAUAGUCUAAGAAUUCUUUUUGAAUCCAAGAAUGAUAAAACAAAUAAAAAAAGGGUCGCAGAAAUUUGAAUACAAUCAAUUCUAGCAUAUUCUGUCACAUCCCGACCUUUAAAUUUUUACCUUGUUUACUAGCUUGGUAUUAAUAAAAAUUUUACCGUCUCCGUCAAUAAGUUAUGGUUUAAUUGGUCCCUAAAGGGGUUUUGAGGGACGAUUAUUUCGGAGAAUUAUUCGUAGGAGAAAAAUAUGACGACGGUAAAAAUGGUAAAUUUUAGCUAAUAAAAGGUAAUUUUUAUUAGGGUAUUAUUUUUCGGGGUGUUUUAUUUUGGAGUAGGUGUGGGUAUAUAGGUGUUGGACCGGUUUGUGUGAGGCCCAAACCUAUCUCCCUCUCUUUCGUCUCUCUCUUCUCUCCCAAUUUCCCUUCCCCGAGCUCUCUCUCCCCGUUGGACUUCUCGCCGUCCGGCCACCAACCGCCGCCGCACCGGUCCCGUUCGGUCGGCCAUCAACUCAGCCACCUCCCUGGAUCGGUGACAGCCCCCCUAGCGCCGCCGUGAGGAAGAUAUCAGGCCCGAGAGGUCCGAUUGAGUUAAGCCCUCCGUCGCCGGAACUCCCUCCUCCGGCCGCCAAAGCCAGCGAUCCUUGGCUCGUUUUGUAGCCCUCCUCCCGUGCAGCAACCCUUCCAAAUGGCUCACUCUCUCUUGAGCUAGGUAAGGAGAAAUGUGGAGUUGAAUUUUCUAGGGCUUCUAGGAUGUUUUUGCUCGAUUGACCUAAUUAGGCUUGAAAUUGAUGUUUGUGCUAGUUAGGAAUGUUGUAGAGGGAGUUGAGAGGAAGAUGCUGUCAAAAAUUGAUAAGCAUUGGAGGUCGUCGGAGUCGGCUUUCGGCCGCCGCUGUGGGGGAGAUUUUUAUGGUUUUAAAUGUGGAAUAUUUAGGGGAGUUUAUUGUUAUGAAUUAUGGAAUUUUUGGAUGAGUUUUAAAUAGGUUUGUGAAUUUCCGAAGUUUUGUAAUUUCGACGGAUUAAUAAGGUAGAAUCCGACCGUUGGAUUAAAGUCGUAUAAUUUGUGGAAGGGUGUAGUUAAGGCUGCUGGUUUUAGUAUUGAGGUGUGGACCGUAUCGAAGUUAGGCAAUGAUGAGCGUGAGUAUGACUCUCGGUUAAUUUUGCCUAUUUUGUUUAAAUAUUGAAUUUUUAGUUGGGAAAUUAAUUAUAUAUAUUUGUGCCAGAGUUUGAGGAAACCUCACUGGAGUGGCGAUUUGGAUUUCGUCGGGCUUAUGCCUAGAGUUGUGAGUGGACCUUUGUUUUAAUUGAAAAGCAUGCGAUGAAUUAUUUUGUUGAUCAUUUAUUUCUUUUAAUGAGACUUAUUGAUUUCUCGGUUAUUUAGCAAUUUUUCCUUUGGAGAGUUCUGAAAAUGAGAUUUUCGGUGGAUAUGUUUAUUGGAUGUUAUGAGUAUAGUAUGUAUAUAAAUGCUAGCUAGCCAUACGUGCUUGGUCUGUCAUAAUGAGGUAAAAUAUCAUUAUGGCGUGACGUGAGUGUUAGACACAAGCGUCAUAGCUCUAUAUGAAAACUACGUUCUUUUCUGGUUUAUUUAGGUUUUCAUAUAGGGAGUCCACACGUAUAUAUACACCGUCCUCUUCGGUUAUAAUGAGGAAAAAAUUUCAUUAUGGCGCGACGUGAGCGUUAGACGCAAACGUCGUAGCCUUGUAUGAAUUUCUAUUUUUCUAAUUUGUUCAUAGAAUUCAUACAAGGAGUCUGACGAGUGUAAAUACAUACACAUAUAUGUUUAUAUAUAGUUUAGCCUGAGAGACUCCAUUUUAUUUGAGUUGGUGACUAGCCAGAGCUAGUCGUGAAAUUGUCAGUUUAUGAGUUAAGCGCUUUUGAGAGGUCGCAUGCAGUAUAAUUUCUUUGGAAAUUAAAAUGGGAAUGCAUAAAUAUUUUUUUAUUAAUUUAUUUUUGUCCACUCACUCUAACGUUUUCAAAUGUUUUGCCCUAUGCCUUUCGUUUUAAAAAUGCCCAGCUUGCAGGUUAGUUUAGUUGAGGUCGGGCGUACAUGGAGAUGAGACAUAGUUAUCAUAUAGCUUCCGCUUAUUAAUUUAUUAUGUUUCAUUUCUUCUUAUUAGAGUUGCUCUGAACUUAUAUAGGGUUGGAUAUGAGAUUUGUUUAGAUUAGUAAUUAAUUUGGGUGGUGUUGUGAUUUGGGGAGCACGAAGGCUCCAGGAGUUUAAGGUUGGAUUUAAAUUUUCAGAAGUGUUUGCAGCUUUUUAUUAGGAAGGGUUGUCCAUUUUCAAGGGAGGUUAUGCCGAAUUUUCGAUAAACUUUCCUUGGAGGUGGUCCCCGCAGGAUUUACUUUGGGUUUCAGAGUGAAAUUCGGGGUGGGUCCUGACAUAUUCCCUAUUUUACGGUAAUCUUAAAAAAAUCUUUAUAUUUCUUCCUUAGAAUUCGAAGAUUUGCCGUAAGUUUAGGAAAUGUCGUUUUUUCCUCUUCACAUUCUCUAUUUUAGAAAUAGUUAUAGAGAAUCUGUUUGUAACGAAAAGAACUUAUUUUCUUGAAAAACUCAAAUAUGGAGUUAGAAACAAAUUUGUUUAAGAAUAACCUUUUGAUGUGUUCAUCCAAACACAUAGUGGAUUCUUAACUGUCAAGCAAGUUGCUCAAAUUUUAAACAGUAACAAACUUAUAAAUCCUUGCAUGCAAAUAGAUUUGCUAAAUUCGAAAAUUCUAUAUUUCUGUAAGUAGGAUUGUUACUUACAGUGUCACAUUACACUGAUUCAUGUGCUUAUAAAUUUGAUUUGCCAAAACAAACAAACAAAAAAUGGAUUUGGUAUUCUCGUUUUCAUAAGUAAGAAGUACUAAGUUUCACUUCUUUUUGUUGGGAACUAAUCUAGUCUUCCUAAGUAUGAUAUCAACAACAACUGUGAUAUCAUCAAUUUUUCCUCCUACAUGAUUGCGGUGUUUGUCCUAGGACUUGUAUGCAACACUUGCAAAAGGGGAAUCACAGUGUUUGUCCUUGGACUUGUAUGCAGCAAAUCUUCCUAUCCUCUCUGCUAGCUCCUCUGGUUUUUCGGUCUUAAAAUCACGAUGAUUCAUGAUAUAUCCAAUCUCAUACGGGAACACAUUGUCAAACAACCCAUCAGUUGCAACUACUAUGACAUCUUCGGCUUCUAUCAGAUCGAUAAUCUCGAUCUCAUCCGCCAAGUCAGGAUCGUCGCUUCUUUUUCCAUUUCCUAAUUGGUAUGGGACAUUAAAACCUUUCCGCAGAGGUGGAGAGACUGACCGCGUAACUCGUAACUAGAGUUGUGAUUUUUCCUGAACACCAUAAAACCGCUGUCCCCAAUGUUCGCAACAUGCAAGGUUGCCUUGGCGGAGGAUCUUACUGAUCCAUGUUUGGUGUUCUUGAGAGUCAUAAUGCAAGCCGUGGAGGAUCCGAGUUUAAUGUGUUUGGUGUUGAUGUAAGCUUCCUCCAAUACUUUUAUCGGGUUGAUUUCUUGUCCAGAUUUUUGGUGAUUGUGGAUAGCCUUUUCGGAGUUGCGCAUGAGCUCCCGGGAGUACUCACCGGCAUCUACUCCCUUUGAUGCCCAACUACCAACACCGUCCACCACCCCAAUGGUCUGCUCUUCUGCAAAGAUGAAGUGAGCAUCCUCACCUUUUUUCGGUAAGUAGUAUGCGCCCAAGUCCAUCUUCAACACCACCUUGAAGUCUUAGAUACCGAUCAUACCAUCUUAGUAUCUUCAUCUUCGAGUAUACCCAUAAUCCCUUCACUUUGUCCAUAUUCUUCAUCUUGGCUAGCUAGCUAAGCUGUGUUUGUAUCCUAAUUCACCCAGUUUGCCUAGAGCUUUUAUAUAUUUUUGUUGUAUAUUGUUUUUUUUUUUGUUACAGAAGGGACCUAAAAGGCCCAAACAAAGAGGAAAAACAAAACAGCAAAACUACAAGCUAGAGGCUAGAGCAACAGCCAGUCUUUCUUGCUCUAGUAACACCAGCAAGGUCAUCAAGAACAGCCUGAAUAGCAUGAGCAGGCACAACAUCAAAGGAGAUUAAGCCAAGAUCAUGAUUGAUACUAUUUUUAGCCAAGGCAUCAGCCACCAUAUUGCAUUCUCUGAAAAUAUGCUUGAUAUUAACAUUCAGCAACUUAGACAUCAUCACAGAGCAGCUGUCCAGGAGAGAGCCAAAGGGGUGGACACCAGUAUCAGACUUCAACAUAAGCUGGACAAGGAGAGCAGAGUCCGAUUCAAUUUCCAAGUUAACAAUGUUAUGCAUAGCCACCAUUCUUAAGCCAAAGAACAGGCCCCAAGCCUCAGCAUCCAAGACCUCACCAGUGCCAAGGUUAACCUGAAAACCAUCAAUCCAGAUACCAAGAUGAUCCCUUAACACACCACCAGCACCAAUGCAGCCAGAACUGAAAGAUCUAGAUCCAUCAAUAUUCAGCUUAUAAAAAUUUUCAGGGGGCUUACACCAAGAAAACAUGGUGUAACUGAACAUAGACUGCAUAGAAGCUUUUGACUGAGCACUGGACCACUCAUCAACAUAGUUCCAAAUAACUUUAUUAGGGCAGGCAGGCAAGAUGAAAGCAGGGUCAAAAAUAACCUUAUUUCUCCACUUCCAAAUAAACCAACAAACAAAGACAAACAAAUUGCACCACUGAAUAUUGUUUUUGAUGACAACAUGACAAUGAAACUGAGCACAUAUCCAACCAUUCCAAUCCAAAGAGAAAGAAUUAGUAAUGGAACCUGGACUAAGGAUAGAGUUCCAAAUAGCUUGAGAUCUUGGACAGUCUCUUAGUAAAUGCAAAAGGGUUUCAUCAGCAUUUUUGCAAAUAGGACAACUAGCAAUAGUAGAGAAACCUCUUCUGACUCUUUGCACAUUAGUAAGGAUUUUCUGAUGAAGAACAUACCACAUGAAGGUUUUCAACUUAGGAGGACAAUUUAACUUCCAAAGAUGAGUCCACAAGGGAUUUGAAACCCCAGCAGAGUCAAAGAAAGAAUUAUAGGCUGAUUUAACAGAAAAUUUACCAUUAGCUGUGGCAUUCCAAAUCAACUUAUCAUGACCACUAACACCAAACCCAGAAGGGACACUGAUAAUCUGCAUAACAACAUGAUCAGGAAGCACAGAUUUGAGAAGAGGGAUGUUCCAACCAGUAUCACACCAGAACUCUUUAAUGGUAGCAUUCAUGUCAAUAAUCACAUGAGGAAGGGAAAAAUGGAAAAGGGUUUUACCAUCACCCACAAGUCACACCAGAACUUGAUUUUAGCACCAUCACCAAUUCUCCACUAAAGAUUCCUUCUCAUCAGCUCAACACCAUGCACAAUACCCUCUCCAAGUAUUAGAACAAUCAGCAGGAGCUAUAGAAUUAGAACUUUCAAUGCAACAAUCUUGCAAAUAUUUCUUCCUAUAAAUAUCAGCCCAUAAACCAGGAUCAUUUUGAAAAAUUCUCCAACUGGCCUUAGCGAGCAUGGCCUGGUUCAUAUCAGCAGUUUUCUUUAAUCCAAGACCCCCACGAUGAUAUUUUUGUUAUAUAUGUUGCCCUGCGUUCAAGUCUUUCUUAAAUAUAAAAAAGUAUAAAGAUAUACAUUAUGGAAGUAAAUGCAUAAUAUCCUAAUCCUUUUUGCUUAUAGGAAACUCUCCUUAAGUGAACCGAACACAAUUUAAUUCCAAUAAGAGGUUUCCUUGAAGUCUUGGGAGUAGAUCAAGUUACAUCAUAACUAGUCAUCUUUUGAGCAAGCGCUUCUAACUGCCAACUUAAACAUUACAAGUUUGCAAUGACAGGAAUCAAGGUUUAUUGUAAAGAAAAUGCAGAAAGCAAUAAAAGAGAGGGAGAAAGCUUUGGAGGCUACAUUGUGUCUAUCUUGAUUGAGAGAUAAUGAGGUUACAACAAUACAUAUAGGACUUAGAAUAUAAAAUGACGUAAAUGCCCUUGCGAUUUAAUUGUCAUAAACCUAACAUAUAGUUAACACCCCCCCCCCCCCCCCCCCCCCCCCCUCCCAACCAUAUGGUUGGGAACAAGCAUAAUGGUUGCCUGCAAACUACACAGAUAUAGCCCAAAAAAUACAAGAAAACACCCAAUUCAAUAACCCAAGAACUUGAUAUGAUAAGAUCAACUAGCUUCCAUCUUGACUUGCAGCAGAAUUGGUAUAAGAGGAGAGGCAGCUUGCUGGAAAAAAACCUCAAAGUUCUCAUGGUGAAAGCAACGGCAGUAAGGCAGCAAUAUAUAAAACAACCUGAGCAGCAAGUGAUAGAAAACUGAAAAUUUCUUCAUAUUUGACUGAAAACUGAUAUGAAUACAAACUGAAAACUGCAUAUGACUGCUAACAACUUUCUGAUAUUCAUUUGCUCACUACCAGCAACCUCACGAAAUUUGCCUUUAUCUGAAACUGAAACUACAUUUGCAUUCCAGCAGCUCAAUAUCAUCAACUUCGGCCUCUCUCUAAAACCAUCUGCAAUUUUCUCAUUCAUUCACAUAAAACAGCAGCCCAUUACUUGGAAACCAUCAACAUAAUAGCAACAUGCAGAUCCUCUCAACUCCUCUCUAUUUUGCAUAAGAAGAUCAAUGUAACAUCCCUUCACCAUUCAAGCUCUUAUAGCAGCAAUAUGACCAUUACACAUUAUACAUAGCAGAUAUGCAGCAAUCAUGGAACCAUCUCUCAAAACGAGCACAACUUGCACACAAGUCAUAUAUUCAGACCAUAAUCUAACCCAUCAAGCCAAUUCACCAGUCCAAAAACAAAUUAUAAACUGCUUCGUCACCUUUUCUUUUGGUUGACGGCAAACAAACUAUGAUAAGAAAAAUUAAACUGGAAAACUGAUGAAUUGAUCAUAACAACCCAGACUAGAGAGAAAAUCCACGACUCAAGUGAAAGAGAUGCCAAUCUGACAAACAGUACCAACUUUGCUGUAUAUACUGUAUACUAUCAUCAACUCUCAAUUCUUCUUUGCACAGUCCAUAUCCAAUUCUAAAAAGACUCUCCCAAAGUUGCACAGACCGGCAAAAGAACCCACAGAAUCAAUCCAUAACCCAACUUGAUAAGCUAGAAUCACCAAACCAUAAAAGGAAUAUAAAUUUCUUCAAUCUUAAACUUCAAACUUUGAUAAAAAUAAAAAUGGCAAACUGACAACUACUAGCAGAACAACCGAGACUAAAGAUCGAUCAAUUCCACGAUUCAAAUGAUAGAGAUGAUGAAUCGGAGAGAUAUUACCAAAUUUUCGGAAGAAACUGAUGCUAGAGAGGAGAGAGGCAGUUGAAACACAAUUGCAGAAUCCCAAAUCCAUACGACAAGACGACGACAUCGAAUGGAAAGUUUCCAGUCGCCGGAGAGAACAAGAACGUCUCCAGGAGGGAAUCGAUUCAAGAUUGGGGUUACGGUUUUGAAAUUGGGGAUCUGAAAUUGAAAGGAACUUGAAAAUGCGAAAGCAACUACGUAUCGAUAAACACAGAAGCCACAAGGUACCGGAUCAGAUACCAUGGGCUCUGAUACCAUGACAGGAAUCAAGGUUUAUUGUAAAGAAAAUGCAGAAAGCAAUAAAAGAGAGGGAAAAAGCUUUGGAGGCUACAUCGUGUCUAUCUUGAUCGAGAGAUAAUGAGGUUACAACAAUACAUAUAGUACUUAGAAUAUAGAAUGACGUAAAUGCCUUUGCGAUUUAAUUGUCAUAAACCUAACAUAUAGUUAACAUGCAACAUAGCUAAUCUUGAUCAGAAGAUUUCAAUCAAUUGCUUGCUAAUCUAUUUUUUCUUGGGUCGAAAUUGAACGGCUGAUCAGUUUUGGUCUUG
RNAcentral lists this long non-coding RNA (87745 nucleotides) under Fragaria vesca (wild strawberry). RNAcentral's name for it is "long non-coding RNA (FVES_LNC002269)". Lineage: Eukaryota; Viridiplantae; Streptophyta; Magnoliopsida; Rosales; Rosaceae. The record is from RNAcentral.